Molecule: long non-coding RNA, 72013 nt
Filed under: Brassica napus (rape)
Lineage: Eukaryota; Viridiplantae; Streptophyta; Magnoliopsida; Brassicales; Brassicaceae
Description: long non-coding RNA (BNAP_LNC000054)
Source: RNAcentral
UUGCAAACACGAGGCUUAAAAAGGCUUACAUAGCACUCCAGGCUUGGAAAAAAGCGAUAUAUUCGGAUCCGUUUAACACCACGGCAAACUGGCACGGCCCCCACGUGUGCGCCUACACCGGUGUGGUAUGCGCGCCGGCUCUCGAUGAUCCCAACGUCACUGUGGUAGCUGGUGUUGACCUCAACGGUGCGGAUAUCGCGGGGCAUUUACCCGUCGAGCUUGGUUUGAUGACGGAUGUUGCUAUGUUCCAUUUGAAUUCGAACCGUUUCUGCGGUAUCAUCCCCAAGAGCUUCGAGAAGAUGAAGCUGAUGCAUGAGUUUGAUGUUAGUAGCAACUGUUUCGUUGGACCGUUCCCUAACGUCAUCCUCUCUUGGCCUAGUGCCAAAUACUUCGACCUUAGGUUUAAUGAUUUCGAAGGUCAAGUCCCUCCAGAGCUUUUCAAGAAAGAGCUAGACGCUAUUUUCUUGAACAACAAUAGAUUCACUUCGGUGAUUCCUGAAACUUUAGGAGAGUCUACGGCCUCUGUUGUGACUUUUGCUAACAAUAAAUUCACCGGAUGUAUCCCGAAGAGUGUCGGAAACAUGAAGAAUCUCAACGAGAUUGUCUUUAUGGAAAAUGGUUUGGGCGGUUGUUUCCCGUCUGAGAUUGGAAAGUUGUCGAAUGUGACAGUUUUCGAUGCAAGUAAGAACUCGUUCGUAGGUCGUCUCCCGACUAGCUUUGUCGGGUUAACGGGUGUGGAGGAGCUUGAUAUCUCCGGGAACAAGCUUACGGGAUUAGUAGGGGAUGAGAUUUGCAAGUUGCCUAAUUUGGUGAAUUUUACUUAUUCAUACAAUUACUUUAAUGGACAAGGUGGUUCUUGUAUUCCGGGUGGCGGGAGGAAAGAGAUUGUGUUGGACGAUACACGUAAUUGUCUGACGGAUAGACCUGACCAACGGUCGGCUCAGGAAUGUGCUGUGGUGAUUAACCGUCCGGUUGAUUGUAGUAAGGACAAGUGUGCUGGUGGUGGAUCCUCUACUCCAUCGAGAUCAUCGCCGGUUCACAAGCCAUCACCGGUUCCAACUCCGGUUGUUGACAAACCGUCGCCGGUUCACAAACCACAACCACCGAAAGAGUCACCGCAACAAGAUGAUCCUUAUGAUCAGUCUCCGGUGAAGAACCGACGCAGCCCACCUCCACCUCAUCAAUCUCAGCCUCCGGUGGUUUCCUCUCCUCCACUUCCGUCACCACCACCACCACAAGUCCACUCUCCACCGCCACCUGUUCACUCUCCUCCACCGCCUGUCCACUCUCCUCCACCGCCAGUCUAUUCCCCACCGCCACCGCCUGUCUUCUCUCCACCACCACCCGUAUAUUCCCCACCUCCGCCAGUCCAUUCGCCACCUCCACCACCUCCGGUUAACUCGCCGCCGCCACCUGUUCACUCACCGCCGCCGCCUGUUCAGUCGCCACCGCCACCGGUGUUUUCUCCUCCAGCUCAUCCGCCACAAACACCAGUCCAACCGUCACCAUCACCAGCGGUCAUUCUUCCACCUCCGUCUCAAUCUCCACCAGUAGUCUACUCUCCUCCGCCAACGAUCAGUUCCCCACCAGCACCAGCUCCAGUGGAAGAGAAACAGACGCCGCCUGCACAAGCACCAGCUCCGGUUGAAAAGGAACAGGCGCCACCGGCACAAGCACCAGCUCCGGUGGAAGAGAAAGAGACGCCAACGGCACAAGCACCAGCUCCAAGUGAUGAAUUCAUCAUACCACCUUUCAUCGGCCACCAAUACGCAUCGCCACCACCUCCAAUGUUCGAGGGCUACUGAUAUCGAUCGAAGAGAGAAGACACAACUAUAUCAUCUAGGAGUAACAAUAUUGUAAAACGAAAGAAGAGAAAAAAUUGAAGAAGAAGAAUAUAAUUGAAGGUUAAAUUAUGUAUGCUAAUGGAGGAACUUGUUAUCAGAUGUUUAAAUUUGUAACAGUUACAACUUCUGAUGGUCGAUAAAAGAUUUAUACUUCUAAGCAAAAAGAGUUGUUAUUAUUUUCCAACUAACUAUCUAUAGUGCAUGCAUAAUUACAUAAACUCCUUUUUAAUUUUUCUCACUCACAAAUCACAGCUUAGUUGCAAAAAAAAAAAAAAAAACCACAGCUUAGUUGCAGAAUUUUUUUACAAUGUACUCCUUAUGUUUCUAAAUAAUGCAUAUUUUAGAAUUUCACAAAUAUUAAGAAAAAUUUAGCAUUUAACUAUCAAUGCAUUAAAUUUUAAAAUUAUAACAAUUUUCCAUAAAUUUAGACCAAUAGAAAUUCAAUAAAUAUAAAAUUGUCAAUUAAUAAUUUUUGAAGUUUACAAUUCAUUAUUAAAAACAUAUAGAAAAUCUAAACAUUUAUCUUUUAAACACAAGUAAAAAGUGCUAAAACAUGAAUUAUUUAAAAAUAGAGAGAGUAUUACUCCCUCCGUUUUUUAAUAUAAGUCGUUUUAAAAAAAAAAUUAUGUUCCAAAUUACAUGACAUUUUCGGUUUUCUAUGUAAAAUUUAUUAACACUUAAUGUUACAUGACCAAUAAUAAUAUACCUUAUAAAACAUUGAUCUUUUUAUCAAAGUUCUCACAUGUUCUGUUCAAUAUAAUUUAGUCUAAUCUUCAAAACCUAAUUAUUUAUAAAACAUAUAAGAAUAUUAUAAGAGAUUAAUAAUUAUUAUAGAUACGAUAUAUUUUAUAUGAAUAUGAAAUCAUUAUACGAUUUCUAUAAAUUGUUUUAUAUUCAUUAUUUUACAUAGUAUUUAAAUAUAAAACAAUUGAUCAAACAUUAUUACACUUCCUAUAAUUAUGAAAAUUAGCAACUAUAAAUUAUUAUUUGUAAUAUCAUUUAGGUUAUUUGGCAAGUGAUAAUAAUUAGUUUUAUACUUACAUUUUAUUUUAGAACUAAUAAAAAUAAUUAAAUUAUAAAAAAAUUGUCUAUAUUAUGUAGUUUAUAAAUAUAAAAAAGAAUUGAUCAAACAUUUUUAUUCCUUAUGUAAUUUCAACAAUUAAUUACCAUAUAUCAUUAUUUUAAUAUAUUUUAGAUUAUUUGUCAAGUUAUAUUAAUUGGUUCUAGAGUUAUCUUUCUUUUUAAAUCUAAACUAUAACAAAUAAAAUUAAAAAUUAUCGAUUAAGCAAAUUAUAACAAUUUUCUUAAGACUUCAUAAAUGAUCGACAUGUAAGCAAAAUUGACUCAAGUGAUUUCUCGUUUAAUAUAUAGGAGAAAUUUUUUAUAAACUCUUAUAAAUGAUCUAAAAUUAUGAUUAAAUAAUUUUGUAAGCCAUGAUAGAUAAUUUUAUAUUUUUUUAUAAAUGAUUUAUAAAGCUAUAUGGACAUUAUAAGACUUUAAUAAUUAUUAUAAUAACUAAUACAACACAAAUUAUUAUAAUAAUUUUUGUUGUAUUAAUUAUUUUAUGUAGUAUAUAAAUAUAAAAAGGUUUAAUCAAACAUUAUUACACUUUUUAUGAUUUUGACAAUUAAUUACCAUAAAUUAUCAUUUUUAAUAUCAUUUAGAUUAUUUGGUAAGUGAUAUUAAUUAGUUUUAGACUUUCCUUUUAUUUUAAAUCUAACUAAAAUAAUUGAAAAUUGAAAAUGUUUCAACCAAUCAAAUUAUAACAAUUUUUCUUGAACUUUCUCUAUGAUUGACUUAAGUGGCUUUUCAUUUAAUAUAUACGAGGAUUGUUAUUUUAGGCAAUUAGAUUUUAAUCUUCUAAAAAUGACAAAAUUAUUAACAUGUUGAUACUUGGCUUAAGAGGUUCUGAAAAGUAUCUCAAAUUUCUCUUUUGGUAUAUAUAGGAGGGUUGUUAUUUUAGGAAAUUAGAUUUUUAUGUUUUUUAGAAUUGGUUUAUUAGUUGAGAUAGUUAACUAGAUACUAUACAUUGGAGCUGCUCCAACAAAAAUAAUGAGAAAAUAUUUUGAGUUGUGAAGUAUCACCUUCUUCUACAACCAAUCAUAAAAGUUAUAUCAUCAAAGAUAAGUCACCUCUUUCUGCAGUUGAUUCAGCACAUAAGACGUGAACUUCCUAAAUACCUUGGUAACAAUCAAUAAAAAAGAAACAUGUAAUAAAUUGCUUUACUAAAUAUAGGAAAAAUAGUACAUGCACUUGUUAUCAUAAUAACAAGGACCAUGGAUAAUAGCGUUUCUUGUCUUCAUGUCAAACUGUAUUCACCCCAUUCUCAUCCAUGUUCAGUAUCAUUAAUUAUUGUCACAAGAACCCUACUUUUUGUGGAAUUAUGUAUAUGGAUGGCUUCGCGUCUACAUCAUUAUUUAUUCUUAAUUAUAUUAUAAGAACACAUUAUUACAUAAUACAAUAUAUUUCUUCUAAGAGUACACAUACUUAACAGCUCUGUUUAGAAAUAGGUUUAAGAUUUCUCUCGCAUUACAUUUCAUUUGACCUACUCUACUUAUCCCAGUAACUGGUAGGAAACACUUUGGCUGAUAAUACAACAACUUAAUGUGGCUUCAUGUCUUAAUUUCAACAAUUAUUCUCAGAAAAUAUGAACAAAUUUUUUUAAUUGAUAACUACAGAAGAGUUUCUAUUAUUAUGGUCAGCCAACCAAUUCAUUAAUGUGAUUUGUUUGUGUUGCGUGACUUGCAAUUGCAUGCGUCUUAAUAUAUAAGCCCAUAUAUGUUUUGUUAAAAAUAAUAUUACUAAUUAUUUUCUGUCAAUAUAUUAUACACAUGUAUUAAGCAUAAGCAGGUUUUGUAAGGGUGACUCUGAGUAUGGCAAUUUUUUAAAAAUGUUGUACACACUGCGCAGACGCAUUGAUUUGUGUUGACAUGAAAUUGGUCUACGCAGUAAGUUAGUAAUCACAAGUCACAACUACUGAUGCCUUGACAAAAAAAGAGAGUAUACCUCUACUAAUGUAAAAGUUUUCUUUUAAGAUCACGAGUUCGACAUUCAGCGAUGAAAAGAUGAAUGAACCCACAAGCCAUAACCGUCAUCAGCCGUGACAACCUUUGGCCUCAUACCACACAUGAUAUAUAUUUCGUUCUUUCUUUUUUGGUUUGUUGUGAAUCUUGUGAUACACCUCACCGCAUGGUUCAAAAUCAACUUUGAGCACAUUUUUAUUUAACGUUUUUUAUCAUUAGAGUUAUAACAAGCUUUGUGAAAGUUUUUUUUUUUUUUUGUAAUCAUACCGUGCAAUGCUAAACACUCCGCUAUAAUAUGAAGUUAAAAUUUUUGCAAUAUAUUGAUCAAUACAAAUAUAAAUGUUUUUAACUAUAGCAGUUGUGUAAAGAUUUUAUACGAGGUUUUACUUAAUACUGUAUAUGUUUGAAGGCUUACUUCUAUGCAAAAAGAAAAAAAGUCAUCAUAUUUUCUCAUGGCGAAAAUGAUAAUUGAUAGUGGAAGGUCGAUAAAAAUUCUUUAUUGAUAAAAGAAAUUAUUUUUAUGAUAAUGAAAGAAGCAAAGGAAAAAAAUAAGAAAUAGUAUUUUUUAAAAAAAUUGUUGAGCUUCGAAUGAGAUAUUAUAUUUUUGUGUGAAAUAACUAAGAGAAACACCCCCUUAACAAUUCAAUUGUGCUAAUCUUUAGUUACUCAUGGUGGAGAUAUACGCAUUCAACGAUAUAACGAGGCAUCACCAGAUUUUUAUAUUAAGAUUUUUUUUCCUCAACUAUAUGAACGAGUCCACGUUCCAAGCCAGAUCCGAAGCCAUCUCAUAAGACUAAACAAAAUUUUGAUAUAACAAUUGAAUGAUUAGCUUGUCGUAAAGUACUUAAAUAUCAUUAUGAAGACAUUAGGGGUUGUUUCCGCUGCACGUCUUCUUCUGCAACCAAUUUUUUGUUGUUAAUCCUUUUGAGCUCUUCUUCAACUAAUUUGCGCACUUGAUUAUUAGAGCACCAUUAUCCUAGAGACCCUAAAUGGGUCUUUUAUUUUUUUUUAAUACUUUUUAAUUGUAAAAGUGAAUUAAGAGACUGGAUUAAGAAACCCGAACAUUUAGGUGCUCCAUUGCAAGUCUCUUAUUAAGAGUUUAAAAAAAAAAAUUUAAUUAAACACCAAUUUUUUUUUUGAUUUUUCUUAUUAAACUUAAAUUUUCUUAAAACAUAGUACAAGCUAACUCUAUAUUCAAGUUUUUGAUUGAAAAACUUACAAAAGAACCAAGCACAAGGGGAUUCACAGCAUUUGGAGUUUUCACGACUUUGAGUUUGUAGAGGAUAACAAGAGUAAGGAAGGAGAUAAUAAUAAUUAUCAAAACAUGCGGAGACUAAUCUUGCAUACCUCGUUAAGCAGUGGUUCAGGUUCUCUAUCUAUGCAAGACUUAAAUUUUACUCUUAGCAUACUGAAAAGAGGCAAUGCAUCCCUCUGCAACCUGUAUUAGUACAUCAAAUUUGUUUAGGUAACAACAAAAGAAAGGCUAGAGCCGUUGAUGAAGAAGAAGAAGUGGAAGUUGUCUCAGCCACCGUACCGCCAAACGCAGACGCAAAUGCUGCAUCGCUAUCUUGAUACAACCUCACGCCUCUCCUCCUUCUCUCGCUUCUCUCUUCAGACACAAGUAACCUCGAGAUAUCCUCUCUCUGCAACCUAGCUUGAAACGCCGUAUCUCUGUUCCUGCUUCUUACCCUCUGAUUAGAGUCUCUAGGGCUUGGCAUUUCCUUGGUUAGGAAGUUAGCAGAAGCAGCAGCUCUCUGUGCGAGCAACCUCUCCAAUUUGCAUUCCGAUAACGCCUUCAUCCCAUCCUGUAAGCAAAAGAUUUCAACAAUUUUAAAUUCAUAUUAGCUCUUGUUAUGGAAGGAAUAACAGAACCAUAGCAAUAUGAUCAAACCAUAAAACAGAGGAAAAUUGUAUAAUUAAGCUCAUACAAGAAACUUGGAUUAUUAUUAUUAGACAAUUAAGCUUACUAUUAUUAGAUUACCACCAGUUCAUCAACAAGUUCUCACACACACACACUCACUCUGAUCUCAGAACAUAAACCCUAAUUAAAUAGAUUUCUCCAGAAAGUAAUCGAACACAAAUAGCGAAACAUCCAGUCACUACCACAUCAGCUGAGCAGAAUUUUUUGUAAGAUCGAUUUUCCCUACAAUNNNNNNNNNNNNNNNNNNNNNNNNNNNNNNNNNNNNNNNNNNNNNUACAAUGGGAAGUUUCAAAGAUAAGAGAGGUUUACCGAAUCCGGUGCAGUGAACGGUGACGGUUUGACCCGAGCGGGUUUGGGACCGGUCCCGGGUCUGAUGAUUUUUUUCUCCGCUCCGUUGCCGGCGGCACCAUCUCUCUCUCUCUCGCUGCGAAUUGAGAGAAAUUGAAAGAAGAGCCAAGUCGGGGAAGAAGGAGAGUAGAGUCUCAAAAGUGGACACGUGUUAAUAAUAUCCGUCUCUUGUAGUCUCCAAAUAAGAGACGUGUUUUCACAUAUAAGCUAAUUUUCUUUUAUUUUAAUUCCUAAAUAACAUAAGAACCCCCACUAAAUACGAGCGAUAAAGAUGCUCUUACACUAGUGUUGCUCAAAUGGGGACCAUGAAGAAGAAAACCUCGAGAGAAGUGCAAAACUUAUUGAACAAAAAAUAAUUAAGGUGUUACAAGAAUCAACAAAGAGAAGUGCAAAACUUAUUGAACAAAAAAUAAUUAAGGUGUUACAAGAAUCAACAAAAACUACAUCGAAGAGUUCACCACGACAAAAGGUAAGAGAAACGCGGGUAAAUGAUUUCGUGAAAAUUACAAAAAAAAACAGAUUUUCAAGGGAGAAAUCCAAAGAUGAAUUGAGAAGGGUAAGAAGGGGAAAUGCCCUGGCGGAGGAGAUGUUGAGGUGGCAGAGGAGUGCGGUGGUUGAGGUGUUGCCGCCAGGCAAUCUUGACGGUUUCAGCCACCACUACGACAAACUCCACACCUAUCCUCAUAAGCUCUAUACACAUCUCUAUCCUUUUUAUCACCAUGAUUCUCUUUUCUCUCUCUAGUAGUAAGUCUUGUUUUCUUCAACCCUCUCUCACUUCAUCUUCUUUGUAUUUAUAUCAGCAAACUUCAGAUGCAUCCUCACACAAAAAACUCCAAAAGCGUUUAUAAUUAAUUGUUUCUCCUGAUAGAGACUUAUAAAAUAGAAAAUAAAAUGAAAAGCAUUUACCCCCAAAGAAAAUAAUAGAACUGAACAGAAAUAAUAAAAUAUGGAUAACAAAUUAAAGAGUUAUCAUUGGUGUUCUUUUCCUUAAAUUAUUUUGUCAAACUUCUUUAAGAAAUGAAGAGAAUCUUUUAUUGCCUAAUGGGAAUUGUGUUUACCCCAGUAGUGACAAAAAAAAACUGAAAAAACAAAAGAAAAGAUCCAUUGACAUCCGGAAUAUUAAGGUAGUGCAUGUCAUUUUUUUUCUUUUGAGCUUUACAUAGUUUUCAACGUUCAAAUCAGUAAUGAACACUAGUAACUUUAGUGUCAAAUCUAAAGCGGAUAUGGCUGGAGAUUCGAUAUUUAUUCAGAAAGUAAGAUUAGUGUAGUAGUAGCGUGAUCGUGUGUUAAAGAGUAUAUUAGCUUUAAAUGAGCUCAUAAUCAUAUCGUAUUAUUAGAUCGACUUUGUAUUGUCUGUAAAUGAAUAUAUGGGUUGUCGGAUCAGAUUUGUAUCGACUCGUGCAGGCAUUGAAUAUCUAUCAACUUGAAAUUAGAUAGUCCUGGCUUUGCCAAAUAUUCUGUGUGUACAAAUAGUCCGUCCAUGUGUGUUGUGGUGAAAUGAAUUAAAGAAGUCCAUUCACAUUAAAAUUAGCAACAACCCUUUUUCACUCUUUCGAGAUAAAAUAUCGUUAAAACAAUUUCAAAUAUCUUAGAAUUUCAUUUUGUUUUCUUAAGUUCGCACUGUUUAUUUUCUUUUAGUAAUUUAUUAAACAUAAGAAAUAAUAACACGUGAAGAAGUUGUUUUGGUCGUUUCACCCCUUGAGGAGAAGAAUAACAAAAGAGAUAAGUUCUAUUAAGAUUUUGAAAAUGUAGUUGAAUGAGACGAAAUUUCAUAUAGAUUUUAUUAGAUAUUACCAAAAUAUAAAAUAUACAUUGAUUUUUUUUUUCAAUUUGGUAAAUAAAAGUUAGUCGGAUCGUGGCUCUUCGACGCUACCAAAGGACGAUCUUCUUUUCAACCCACUAGGCACGCGCUCUCUUUAAGCGACCGACAGUAUAGAGAGAUCAAAGAGGUGUAUGCAUUUGGAUUAUCACCCUAAUGAUUGUCCUUCUAUACUUACAAUAUCGUUUUAGCUAUUUUCUGGUCGUCAGCUAUUUUAAUUUGUAAGUCCUAAAUACUGAUUUCAGUUCGUUAAGCAUAUGCAACAUAUCUAUCAUCCAACUAUAUAUAUUCGAUAUAUCUCAUUCUAUGAUUCAACUAAGUGUUUCAAAUAAUUAAAAGAAUCAUCUACGUAUGUUAUGGAACUUGGUAUCAAUCCUUUGAAGUGCUAAGCCCCCUCAAAAAAUGCAACUUCAAUUUACUAAGAGCAUCUCCAAUGUAAAACUCCAUUUUUUAAAAAAAUGGAGUAAAAGUAAAAAUGGAGUAAAAUUGCUCCAACCCUACUCCAUUUCUCACUCCAUUAUGGAGUGAUGAACAAAAAAAAAAUAAACUACUCCAUUUAUGGAGUAAAUUUCAUUAUGGAGUGAGAUAUGAAGUUGGGUUAGAGCAUUCCUUACUUCAUAUCCACUUUUACUCCAUUUAUGAGGAAAAAAUGGAGUUGGAAUGAAGAUGUCCUAAAUGAAAGUUAAAAUAAAAAAUCAACUACAUUAAUGGAUACAGGAUAUAUAUGUUAGUUAGUUAAAACUCCACUUUAAGUCUUUAACUUACCAAAGAAUGUGACAUGAACGGGGUUAUGUCUCCAUUAGCAUGUCGUUAAUCUUAUUGUUUGGACACACUACAGAUAAUUGCUACAAAAGUGCACGUCGCAUUUUCAUCCUCAUGAUAGAGACCCCUCCCCCACAUUGGGUCGAGUAAACCACGCCAUAAAUUAGUCCUUUUCAUACAAGUCUUAAUAAACUAUUGAUACUAUUUGGCUUUUAUAUACAGGGCCGUGCCUGACAUUUGGCAAGCUAGAAGCAAGAAAAAAAAAAUUGACCCAGAAAUGCUCUAUCCAUAACUCGAACCCAGGGCACCCAACAAGAGAAACUCAAAUAAUAGCAUCUUUAACCAUCUCUGCUACCUAAUCUUCAUGAGAAUUGACCCCAAAAAUGUUUUUAUACUGAUUGGCCCUCAAGCAAAUGCUUGAUGGACUUGUAUCCAGGCCCGGCCCUGUUUAUAUAUAUCAACAUCCGAAACGAACAGAAUAACAGUUGCAUGAUUAAACUUUAUUUACCAUUGUAUAAACGUGUUAUGUAUAUCUAAACAAAAUUUGUGUUCAAAAAAAAAAAGUAUAUCUAAACAAAAUAUGUGAAUAUGAUAAGGUUUGGUUUCCUAUUUUAUCAUGAUCUAGAAAAGCAUAUCUUGAAGAAACGCUAAAAUUUAAGAUAUAAAUAAGGAUGAGUUCAACAAAAAGAGGAAAGACUUACAAGCACCAAGCGAUAGAUAACAUGUCACGAGAAGAAAUCGUAAUAUCAAGGGGGAAUCUAUUGAGAUAAUGUUACAAUAACAAGAGGCAAUGAGACACUGGGGGUGAUUGGUUGGGUUGUAACUAUAAAAAAUUUACUUUAGCAUUUUGUCUGUAGGAUUUUUAAUUUAGCAUUAAGUGAUGUAGCUUUAAAAUUUCCUACAGCUAAAAAAAUGAGGCUUUAGAAAAUAAGAUGUUUACAACCAUUUUUUAUGUGUUUUUGCUGUAGCUUUAAUUUUUUGGUUGUAGCUUUAAAAACCAAGAUAAAACAUGAUUGGUAAUAUUUAAGGUUGUAGAUGGAAAUUAAAGCUAAAGUCACUUUCUACAUCCCAACCAAUCACCCCCACUGUUUCACUUUCACAUUGGUCUAUACAUGCUUCAAUCAUUUAAAUAAAAAUAAUGUAACUGUUUUUUUUCUUCCUUAAAUUUAUAGUUGAGUAAUUGGCGUAGAUACACCCAGAAACUCAUGUAAUUUGCCAUAUAAACUUAUUUCUUUUUAAUAUUUUUAAUGACUAUAAUACCCUUAUUUCUAUUUAUCUCUCUUCUCCCUUUUAUGUGUUCUAAUCUCUUUAUCUCUCGUACAAAUUCUUCAAAUCUUCUUCUAAUUCAACACAAAUCUUUAUUUUUUUAUUCUGAUUCUUUUGACACCCAUAAUGCUAAUCUUAUUAUCUCACCCCAAUUCCAAUGUUUCUAAUUUCGAAUCACAAUCAACUUUUAUAUAAUAUACACGUUAGUAGGUAUUUUAUUACUUACAUGCUAUUAUUUAGAUUUUAAUGGAUUCUUAAUCGAUACAUAAAGUGUUAGCUGUUACAAAUAGAUUUGGAGCUAUUUAAUAGAUAACUAAUUAAUUGUUAAUAGUUUCAUUAACUGAUAUAUGAUUUGUUAGUCGAUACAUUUGUUUGAUACAUAGAUUGUUAGAUGAUACUGAAAUUAUUAGCGGAUAUAUUAGUUGGUAUGUAGAUUGUUACCUGCUAUGUAAAUAUUUAGCUGAUAGAUCUAGAGUUACUUGUUUUCGACAAAGCAUAAGGGUAUUUUCGUCCGUACAGUGUCAAAAAGUUACUCCUUUUUGAGUUAUCCAUAAUUAUGGGCAUUCAGCAAAUUUGGACCUUAAUUGGAGAUAUUCCACACAUUGUCUCUUUAUAGUUUAAUAUUAGUUAUUUCUUCUUCUUUUUUUUAUAUCAAAAUUUGUAAUUAUUUAAAAAAAUAUUUAGAAAAAGGGGAAGCUGCAUGAGUAAGCAUCUAAUUUUGAACCCAAAAAGCAUAUAUUAAAGGUCAAUUGCCGUACGAACGUCGUUCUGAAUUGAUUGCUCUACACAUUUAAGCGAGUUUGAAAAAAGAUUAAAACAUCGUCCCAACUCCAUGUCCCAGCUAUUUACUUCCAGAUUGAGAAAUGUGAAGUAGACAUUCUAAUCUUAUAUACUAAUAUACUAUCGGGUUUACUAUUUCUAGUUGUUUUCGAUAAUCUUAGUUAGAACCUAAUAUUAAAAAAUAAAUCAAUUUACUCAAUUCUAAUUUCAUAUCUAAUUUCAGCUUAAUUAUUUAUCUAUUUUUCAAAGUAAGUAACCUUAAAUUUUGCAUUACCCUUGUUUCUAGACUAAAAUAGGUUUCGUUUUUUUUUUCUCUCGAUGUCAAGUAACUUAAAAGAAAAAAACUCUCUAAACGGUUAAUAUUAUUAACAUAUGUAAUUACUGUAGAUACCUACCCAUAUUUCAUUUGAUUGAUUUAAAAGCUUUAAAUAGGUUCGAAAUGUUGGAAAAAACAAGUUUGGAACAAAUUUAAUGUAAAAAGAAGAGAGAGGGGGACCACCCUUACCAUUCAGCAAAGGUUAAAAGAAAAGCGACAAGUAGUAUACAUUUAAGAGCAACAGUAUAGUAGUGGCCCUUACUAGUUUUAUCUUAUCUUUCUGUAAUCAUAUUCUUUUCGUAACAUUGAUGUCUGUAAAUAACAUACUGACUGAUAUAACGAAACUUUUUUUUUUCAUUUCAAAUUUAGUUUAGAAAUACUAAUAUUUUUGCAGCAAGGUCUCUUUUGCAUGUCAAAGAUUCAACUGUGACAAAGUUAGGGCCACUUACAACAAAGCAAACAAGUACACAUUGUUAUUCUUGUUCAUGUUUGUAUCCGAAACCAUGGCGAGACCGCAUCACAUUGCGUACACAAUCUCUCCGCUACUGUCGAUGUCAAGAUCAUCCAAGUCGCUCUCUAGAUCUUCCUCCAUAUCCUCAUCUAUAUCCAAGCUUCCUGUUUUGUCACCAACGUUGAGAACUUUAGAAAAACAAGAAAAUUGAAUAAGCUUUCUUAUCUUUUGUGUUGUUUCACUUCACCUGUGAGGUAAUGGUUUAGACUCUGCAUGCCAGCAGGAGGAACAGUUGCUUCUGCAAUGAUCUGCAUGAUCUCUUCAAUGCUUUGACCUGGUUGAUCCGAUUCAUCAAACUGGCUAUUCAUUGUGUCAUCGUUCAUGAUAUCUACCGGUAGAUUCUUAAGAAACCAUUCAUGGUUCCUUAUUUCAGGAAUUGAUAUCCUCUGCAAGAAACAAACAAAGAGAAAAGCUAAACAAAAACACAUUCAAAAACGUGGGUUACAAGGUAUCUAUGCAUAUACCUUAGCAGGAUCAGCAACGAAUAUUCUGGAGAUCAAGUGGCGACAUUCAGGAGAUAUGUGAACAUAAUCAGGAAUAGCGUACUGAACAUUCAAGAUUCUCUGAGAAAGCAACAGAACAUAAUCUUUAGCUAGCUAUAUAUAUGUUGGAAGAUAACAUUUUUUGUUUCAACUAAUAGAAACCAUGAAGGAAGAAAGCUCUCUCACAUGGAUAGUUUUCCUGAAAUUCUUAGGCUCUUCAGGAUCUUCAAAAGGAUAUGCUCCAACAAGCAUUACAUAGAGAGUUACUCCACAUGACCAAACAUCUGCAACCUGAUGAGUUAUGAUGCAUUUGACCAACUCAAACCAUUAAAGUAUCAAGAUAGUCUCUGUUGCUAUACUAAGAUUUGUAUAAUAUAGCAAAAAAAAAAAAAAAGAUUUGUAUAAUAUAAUUGUUAGUAUUGGAGGGUUACCUUGCCAUCAUAUUCUUUCUUUAGCAAAACCUCAGGAGCGAUAUAAGCAGGCGUUCCAACAGUUGAUUUUGGCUGUGAAUGUAAUACUGAUGACUGAAAAACAACAAGAGCAUACACAAAGUUAUUGUGAGACAGAAUCUAGCACAAGACCAAAAACUUUAUACAUGAAUUUUUAUAUGUUUUGACAAAGAAUGGAUACCUUGGAAUAACCAAAAUCACAUAUUUUUAGACGAGGUGCAGGGCUACCAUCUAGUAACGUAUUCUCCAGCUUCAAAUCUCUGUGACACACUUGCUAUAACAUCAAAGUGAAAUAACAUGAGAGUUUGAUUUUAACAGAGGAUCUAAACUAGAUCAUUUUCUCAUUACCAUAGCAUGACAGUAACUAACUCCUGAAAUGAGUUGCUGGAAGAAAAACCUCGCCUACACAGGUUAUAACCAAUACAUUAAUCUCAUCUUUGAUUUAACCAUCCAAGCCAAAUAAUAAAAGAGAAGAAGACAAACCUCGUCUUCGCUGAAACGGCCUGCAUUGCAGAUACGCUCAAAGAGUUCUCCUCCAGCUGCGUAUUCCAUAACAAUGGCCAAAUGUGUUGGUGUUAAUACGACCUGAAACCAAACAAACAUGAGCAUUUCAUAUAUGUAUAUAGGAGACACGAAAAUUCUCCUUGUGAUUUGAUUUUAAAGAGAGAGAGUUGAAGACAAACCUCUUUGAAUCUAACGAUAUUGGGAUGUCUUAAGGACCUAUGGUUAAUUAUCUCCCUUUUUACAUUUUCAUCUAUCUGUAAAAAUAAUAGAAAAAAAAAAUCAAAGAAAUCUCAUGACCAAUAAUAAUCAUGUUCCACAUUCGAAUUAUGAAAGAUCCAUAUCAGAACAAAGUAAAUGAAGAUGAUGUAACAACUAUGUUGAUGAUUUUCUAUAUAACUAACGCUUCAUUGAUUCACAUAAGCAAUCAAACACACAAGUGAAUUAAAAAAAAAAAAAUCAAGAAACCAGAGGGAUUGAGAAAAACACUAACCUUCUCACCUCUCUCGAUGUAUUUGACAGCAAGAAGCUCGUUACUUAGCUUGUCUCUCAUCAAUCUUGCAACUCCGAAAUUACCGGAGCCAAUAUCUUUGACGAGCUCGUAUCUGUCGCUAUCGUGCAUGAUCGGCAAAUCCAUUGGCCCACUCACUGCUGGUCGGUCCAUGUUUAUGUUCCUUUGUCUGUAUGUUAGCUCAAAGUUGUUUCAAGUGAAGAUUAGAGCAGGUUUCCGGGAGAUAUCUAACAGAGACUCGACAUUACUAAACUGUACAUCUGAAGAAAUGAGCUAACCUGACGUGGAGGAAUUUGAGCCGUUGAGGUUUGAGAAAGGGUAGUAGGUGAUGAUGAUGAUGAAGUUUAUGGGUGUGGGAAAGAGACUUUUUGAGACACGUGAAAUCUCUAACCAACAAGUGGGUUUCUUGAGAUGUUUUUGUUCUUUUGUUUGAUCCCUGUCUUUCUUUUAUGUUUUUUUCCAAUUCGAAGAUGAUUAUGAAGAAGAAGAAAGGGUUCGUGAUGGUAAACUAUGUUUCUCUCUCUAUCAGCUCGUUAUAAAGCAGCUCUCUGUUCUGUCUAAACCACAGCUUGAAGGAAAGAUAUAGAGGAGAGAGAGAUGAGACAGAGUUUUCACAAUUCCUGAAUUGUUGGAAUGUGAUUUGUUAAAAAAUAUGGGAGAAAGUUUUCAAUGACGGAACUACCCUUCUUUCCACUUUGUUAAAUAUGAUAAACAUGAUACAUUGAACUAAAUUUACACACAAAAAAUUUACAUAGAUUUAUUAUCUUUUAUAUCACAUCCCUAUGAUUAAGUACUAUAAGAGUGAAAAAAAUAAAAUUAUUAUAGCAGAAUAUAGCUUUAAUGGUUAAAAAUAUAAUAGUAAUCUAAACUUUUAAAUGAGUAUUAAAUGAAUAAAAGUGUUACAUUUUAAUAUAUUUGUAUUGUGUGUUUUUUGUUGAAUAUGUAUCUAGCUAACCAAUGAAAAAAACACAAACUAUAGUUUAACAACAUAAUUAAUUUAGGGGUUUAUCUGACUAUAAGUUUUGUAUGAACCUGAAGCUUAGCUGAUGAGAUAAUACAAAGUCGCAUUAACAACCUUAUAUAAUCAAUCAUAGACCGCUAUCCCCAAUGCUUUUUUUGUUUCUUGGACAUUUCCCAAUGUAUUCUGACUUUCUGAGGUCAGUAUGUCCCCAAAUGUAUUUUAAUCUAAAUAUAGAAAAGACUUUCCUCUUUGGUAUAUAAAAAGUAUUUUUGCAUUAAAAAGAAGAAAAUAAAAUAAUAAAGGUUGCCACAUUUGUCGAGAUAUUGUUGGCUAAUUUGUCCGAUCUCACCUAAAAGUAGAAGCCGAUAGAGAUGCAUUCAUCAUAGGCCCAUUCCCCCCUAAUAUUAUAAAGUGUGAAUGGGUCUCCACAUGACGCAAUUAUUUAUUUUAAUCUUAUAAAAAUAUAUUUCCGUACAUAAUAUUCCGAAUACACUCUUCUAGAGAGGUGAAGGUUGGUGACAGCAGAGAAGAGACUUUAACAAAACAAAAAAAGUAGAGCACAUAAAAGAAGAGUUCAUAAGACUCGGAGUUGUUUAAAGUUUCCCAUUUUACUACAUGAUCAGCUAUUCAGACAAUACAAUCGACGCAAAAGCUUUGGCUUACCCAAAAGCUGAACUCAAUGCACACCGUUAAUGGGAAUUUGCUUCAAAAAUGGAUCAUAAGAAAGUGCAGAAGCGAUUGGUACCAAACCUCGUCAAAUCGUAGUUUGCAUGAAUGUAGCGAUGGGGAAGAUUGGCCUUAGCUAUUGUAGUUAUCAAGACCAAGGUCUCUCAGUGCAUCAGUUGCAGAGGCUCUGCAUAUCUCAUUGUUUGCCUUAGCAUUCCUUAUCAACUUCUCAAUUCCACUGGCAAGCAGAAUUUUUCUGUAAUUGAACAUAAGCUUAUCUGAUCAGAAUUUGUGCGAUAUGUGAAUAUUGUUGAGAUGAAAGAAAAAAAUUGGAAAGAGAUUUUUUUACCUGUUCUCUGCAUUUCUCACAGCAAUGUUUCGUAUCAUGUUGCAAGCGUUUCUCUGCAUUUGAGCCGCUGCUGGGAACCUCUUCAUAGCUUGGAUCGCCAGAUCACCAGCUCCAGCUUCUAUAGCACUGGCUGCAUGGUCUGGUGAUCUCAGACAGAUUAUAGAGAUUAUAGACAUGACCUGAACAAACCGGUAUAUGUCAACCACAAGGAUUAUGCACUCAGACCCUAGUGUACUAGUUACAGAAAAUAAACUCCUCACUCGACAUAACGUUCUUAUCUAUUCUAGUGUAACACUGCCAUAGACCUGACCCGUAGUCAGUAGUAGUAGUCGCAACAGGAAUGUAGUAAGAGGGUUUUCUUUUGGUUUACUUACCUCUUGUAUGACUAGAGGAUCGUCCGAGAAUCUUUGUGCGAGUUUGAUUAACUUGUCUAGACCCCGCUUCUCAACUAUGGUGCUCUUGUUAGAGUCGCUUCCUGCCAACUAGAGAUUCAAGUACACAUUUAGACAAACAGGUCUCACGCGUGCUUACAAUAAUAAUCUACAUCAGCAAUUCUAGACUCUGGAAAAUGAAAAAUUCGAAAACAUGCAUUAAUCACUCCUCUGUUACAGGGAAAACGUUAACAUACUCUACUGUCUAAUAGAGGUAGCAAAAACUUAAAACCUGAAAUUUAAAGCAGAACUAUCAACAAUUAAAAGACAUUUAAUACUAUAGAGGUAGCUUGCAUGACUAAGAACAACUGAAGGCGUUCAAGACUACAUAGACAGGUUGCAGAACAGUUUAGAAGCUACACACCUUGGACAACAAUGAACAGCACGUCUUCGCAGCAGUAUUGUUGCCUUGUUCACCGCUAUCAUCAAUACACCUAAGAAGUGUGUCUAUUCCACCACUUUCAGCAAUAGAUUUACAUAUUUCAUCCUGUUUACAGAAAAAUAAAUGUGCGUAAGGUGUUACAACAAGAAACAAAAUGAAUAAUACACAAUGACUAACCAGUUAAACGUUAUGAAAGAGAGAUUUGUACUAGCAUACAACUUACGUUUACAGCAAUUGAUUUUAACGCAAUACUUGCUGAGACCAAGCUAUCCGAGCCAAUCCCUGCCUGCAAUGCUUCGGUGAGGGAUCUUGCAAUCCCUAAUUUGGCAAAAGUCCGCGCAUAACUAUAAACCUAAAAACAUAUGACUAUUAGCUAUUUUCUAAUGAAAUAAAGAUAACACUUUCUAGUUGUUGUAAUAUGUGCUUUUAACACGUGAGUAUGAAUCCUACAUACUUGGGAAGCAACCACACGGUUAUCAUCUGGGGUCAAAAGAACACGAAUAGCAUCAUACAAAGCUCUAAUGGUAACUUUACUCUCACGAUUCAGCACUUUCAGAAUAAGCUCAUCGACUUUCAGCUCCAUGAAUAUCUCCUUCACAACUUCGUUCCCAGUGGCUGCAGCAGCAACAACAGCAAAACCAGCAUCUAACAAAUCAGAAUCAAAGCCAGAGUCUCUCAACAGAUCAACCACAAUCCUCGGUCCAGAAGCACUCCUGAACGCCUCUGUACUCUGAAUGUCUGCAAUUAGAUAGUCACAUGAUCAACAAAAAAGGAAUAAACACUAAUUCAAGAACCUUAAUCAUACCAUGGAUCAAUACAGCCAAAGCUUUCAAGCACGGAACAACAAUGACAUUAAUCCUAGCGUCUAUCUUGAUUUUGGAGCAAAUCGAGCAAGUUAGCUCCACGGCACCAUGCUUCGUAGCAAUCGCCACGUUUCCUGACUCUUGGCCGCUACAAAGCUCGUUGAGCUUGACUAACAAACUCGAAAUCUCAUCAAAUUCAUCAUCGAGCUCUUUGAGUCUAUCUAAACAAGCAAUCACUGGAUUGUCCUUGACGCUGCUUUCUCCUGGAACACAAGUGAUGAUCCCUAUAGCACACAAAAGGAAAACAAAAGAAGGAAUCAUUUCCUCCUCUAAGCAUGAGUAUAGAUCCAGCUCAAGAGAGUAAGGGAAGUGAAAGCGAAAAGAGGUUACGGACCGGAGAGAUCGACGCCUUGGAGCUUGAGUGUGUAGAGAGCGUCUUCGAGAGCUUCGGAAGGUUCCAUUCCUAGAUCUUCCACGUUUUCCUUAACGAGAUCGUCGAAUGCCUCCUGAGAUAUCGCACGAGUAGCCAUUCUCGCUUGCUCCGCCGUUAUACGAUUCGUCGGAUGAUAUAGAAAUCGCCGUUCAGAUGGAUCGGAGAAAAAGAUUGGAUUCAAAAUUGUGUUUGGGAGUAGAAAGGGUGUUGUGGUAAAACGGCGCCGUUUCUUAGCAUCCGCGUUACAUUCUCGAGAUUCCAGACGACCACGUUUAGGCGUCAUAGCUGGGAUAAACGGCAUCGUUUGUAGCAUCUCGAGAUUCCACACGACGACGUUUAAGCGUCACAGUUGGGAUAAACGACGUCGUUUGUAGCAUUUGCGCUAGAUCGCCUCGAGAAUCUCGAGAAGACGACGUUUUAAAACCGUCAAUACAAUACUGUUUAUUUUUUAUCUUUGAAUUGUUUGAUAAUAGACGAAUAUACUCAAUAUGAUUUUGCUUAUGGACAGUAAACUGCACAAAACUAAUGGUUUUCUAUGAUCUAACCAAACCUAUCCACAAUGAACAAACGUUUGCUUUCUUCUUCACAUGUUAAUACAACUCAUUAGUCUGUUAAAGCUUCCCUUUGGCCUCAUUCUGGUUCAAGUUCUGCAGCUGCAACAUGCCUAACCCGCUGAGCAAGACGUCUCCUCCUAUAUACCCCCACCAAGCGCAGAAUCAGAAUCAUUGCUAUAGCACUGAACUCGAACACCGUCACUAUUCUGAACCCUCCUGUACAAAACGGUGAACAUCAGUCUUUUAGAAAAAGGGUUUGGACUCACAAGAACUUCGAUUCUAAUCACAUCAAUCUCAAAUGAUUCUUGCAGAGGCAUAGGCCAGGAGAAUCUCAAUCUUGUGAGGCAACUUACCCGUUGGGAUGAAAUUAAACUCGGUGGCAGUGUAGAGGGUACUCAUCAACAUCUGCAACACAGAAACAAACUUAGUUUCUCUUCCUUCUAUAGUAGAAUAAUAGAUACAAAGCUGUUACUCCUACGAUAAUCACAGAGCAUAGAACUACCACCGAGAUGGAAACUAUGGCUCAAAACGUUCUUAACUGCAAAGAUGCGAACUUCGUUAAAAUGCAGGUUGGUAGUAUCCGGAUCCAUAAUGUGCCACACCAUUCUCUUCAUUAACAAAGGCAGCUCCUGCACUUUCUGAAACAUUUUGAACGAUGAUGGUUUUUGUCAAAGCCAAAGCACUCAUGAGAAUAUGAAUCAAAUCCAUUAAUUACCUGAAGAAAGCCAGUUAAACCUCCAACAAAGAGACGGUUAUACCUACGGAUCUUAGCAAGAACCUCCUUCACCUCCGGCUCUUGGCGCUGUUGCAAGGACGCUUCCGGAGAGAGCUUGGUGAUGUGACGAACACACAUGGGACACUUGCAAGGCCUUGAUACCGCAGCGUAGUUCCAGUACUGCAAGAUGCAGCUUCCUAUAUGUAACACCACAACACUAAUAAACGAAAUUGGACUCAGAAAAUUUUAUUAAGGAAGGAGUUAAAGAUCGAGCAAUUACCGCAAUACCAAUGGCCACAAUCACCUCGACACGGAACCGUGAAGGAGCCGAAGCAGAUCGGGCAGCAAUCAUCCUCUGGAGGCGUCUCGCUCUGUGUCUUCUUCCUCUCUCCGUCAUUAUCCCUUUCGAUCUUCCUCUCCUCUGCUGCCGUCACGGCUCCGUCAGCGAGCACGACGGCGUUUGAAGCCUCCUCCGGCUCGCUACGACCAUGAGUUUCCGUCGCCGUGGCGUUUACCUCGUCGGUUUUCACCUCCAUUCUCUAUCUCUCUCCGUUUCGUCGCGUUCUUGGAAGAUUCUUGUUUUACGAACUGAGUAAAUUCGAUUGAAUUUUCAACAGCUUAUUAUAAGAUGAAAAUUUCAAAGCGUGUUCGGAUGCAAAUGACUGAUUUACCCUCGGUAUUUUCGGUAAGAUAAAGGUAAGUUAGAAUGUCAGAUUCAUUCAAGUAUGAUUUUAAUACAAGUGGUUAAUUUAGGUAAAUCUAUACUAUACUAAAAGGGAGAUAUAAGCCAUGGAGAGGGUUAUAUAUAUAGGACAGUUACCACUAAGCCAUUGAAACUUUCUUGGACACAUAUACAAAAACCACUAAGUAUAUAAUCACAAACUCUUAUGUACAUUUACAAUAAUAUGAAUUCAACUUUCAAGACUCCGAUACUUUGUUUUGUAAAAAAAAAAUAAGUAAGUGACUAAGCUAAUAUAUUCUUAGAAAGUGUGAGAACGUUGACAAAUAUGAAAAAGCAUAGAUUUUUGUUUUCGUGACAAAGUUAAGAUUUUUAAAAGUAAAUUUAACAUAUAAAUUUUCGUGACAAAUAUGAAAAAGCAUAGAUUUUUGUAAAAUUUUGACAAAACAACUCAUAACAUACUUCUCUAAUGUCUUAAUAAAAUAUUAUUUAAGGGUGCAAUAAUUAAAUAUAUUAAUUCAAUAAAGUUUGUAAUUUAUAGACAAAACAAUAACACAACAAAUUUUGAAACAUUUGUUUAACCUAUCGAUUUUUUUUCAUGAGAAUCCAACUAAACAAGAUAAAAAUAAUAAUUAGAUUUACAAAUAUUUAAUUACCAUUUUAUUCAAUUUUGAUUAAUUUCAAAUUGUCAUAAUGUAUCUUUUUGAAGUUACAAAUAUGAAAAAGCAUAGAUUUUUGUACAAUUUGACAAAACAACUCAAAACAUAUUUUUCUAAUGUCUUAAUAAAAUAUUAUUUAAGGAUGCAAUAAUUAAAUAUAUUAAUUCAAUAAAUUUUAUAAUUUAUAGACAAAAAAAUACCACAACAAAUUUUGAAACAUUUGUUCAACCAAUCGAUUUUUUUUCAUGAGAAUCCAACUAAACAAUUAGAUUUACAAAUAUUUAAUUACCAUUUUAUUCAAUUUUGAUUCAUUUUAAAUUGUUAUAAUGUAUCUUUUUGAAGUUACAAAAAAAUAAUGUUCUUUCUUUAUUACACUAGCAUUAUAUAUAGAUUCUAUAUACACAAAAUAAAUAUAAUAUAACAACAUAAGCUUGCUUUCCCUGAUUCAUAUGAAAACUUUUUAAGUUAUCCACCAAAGCAAAUUAAUUAAAUCAUUGAAAUUGUUAAAAUACAGCANNNNNNNNNNNNNNNNNNNNNNNNNNNNNNNNNNNNNNNNNNNNNNNNNNNNNNNNNNNNNNNNNNNNNNNNNNNNNNNNNNNNNNNNNNNNNNNNNNNNAAAUUACAGUGGAGUCAACAACUCCCUCAGGCAUAUUCAGGAGAGAUUGUUGUAGCUCUAUAAUGGCACUGUCCGAACGCCUAGUGAUCCAAAGAAGUUUUGCCUUUUCCAUGUGAACAUUAGGUGCACCAGAAGCCUGAGCUUCCAAAAGUGCCCUGUGAGCUGUCUCAUAGUGCCCAGCCAAACGGCAAAGCUUUGCAUAUUGAAGCCAACAGUUCCCAACUUGAGCACCAAGCCCAGAGGCACCAAAGACAAGCCUUCGGAAAGCUAAAAGGGGUUCCCUUGUCCACAAUGAUGAUUGAGUGAACCUGAGCCGGUUCUCCCAGUUAUCAACUACUUUUGAAAACACUGGAUCACUUGUACUAAAUGAUUUCUCCAGAUAUGAUUCCCCAUUAAGAAGCGCCUGGAAGUCCUCUAGCUCUCUUAGCAAGUGAAGUUUGACAACAAAAGGAUAAGCUCGUGUAUAGGAGUCCAUGCCUGCAGCAGCUAGAGGAGCAAUAAGAGCUUGCUUGGAAAUUGCUAUUCUCUCAGCUACGGAAUAUUGAUCCUUCUUCAUCAUUGCUUGGAGAAUCUUUGCAACAUCUCUGUCAAAAGAGGCAUUACUGUCUGAACUACUGAAGAGUAGACCUUCUUCAUCUGCUCCACCAAGAUACUCAUCCAUCAAGUCCCAUUUUCCGAGUCUCCAUGCAGCUUGUACACCUUGCGUACACCACGUUUUCUUGUACUCAGGUACUCUGGAAAUUAGUCCGUCAACAUGAGUGACCAUUGUCUGAUGGUGGCACAUGUUAAGUAAGCAAUUAAGAACAUCUGAGUGUCUUUGAACUGAUGUUGGUUCCAUCUGAAGGGCUUGUUCACAUGCAGUAAAAACUUCUGCCCAGUUACCAGAUUUCUUAUCUAUCAACAAUUGGUCUUGCAAACUUAACGAUUUGCUUAAACUUGCAAAGCCAGAAAGACCAUCAGGCUCGUCAAGACAGCUGUAUAUUCCCAUCAGAGAAGAAACAUCAGCAUUUUCAAAGAAGCCUGUCUUCUCAGCUGCCGGAUUCAAGGAACCCGACUUUUCACGUACAUGGGAUUCAAGGUACAUCAACGACCUAGCAUAUGCUUGACACCUGAAUGAUGCCCUAGCAAGGGUCACCUUGGGAAUAGCAAGCAAAAGCUCCAACACAUAUUUACACUGUACAAGAAGUUGAUCCUGUUCUGUUGUUGAAGUUGAAACCUGGUCUUUUGAUUUGGAUGCUACUUGUCUACCGCCUGAUGACUGUACAGACAAUGAGAGUGCUACUCCCUGCUUCACAUCAUCAACCCAUUGCCCAAGGUUGUCAAGAAGCGUGAAAACAGAUUGAACACAAACUUCACUCCGACCAACACCAAAAUUGUUUACCCCACUAUUUUCUGAUGUAGCAGCAUCAAGAACAGAAAGGAUCUCUUCCGAAAUGCUAAGCCGUGCUGCCUCCGUCCCAUGGCAAACAACAUCCAAAACUAAAUAUGGUAAGAGAUAAGUAGCUGUCUGCAUAUCGUGACGCACUAUGCCCCGGCAAGCAGCAAAUAUGCUUACACGGGAUCCAUUUGCAUGUGCUGUCAAUUUCUUUAUCCAGUAGGAUAGCCAUCUUCUGAAUGACAUAGAUGGCCGAUAAAUUGGUCCAGCUGAUCCGGGGUCAGACACAUUUGGAAGCUGAAACCUUGAAGUCAAGCAGGGAGCUAUUAGUUCUUUAACAUAGUUUGAGAACCGGCCCCAUAGUUUGUGUCCCCUUUCAUUCACUUCACUGCUACGUCCAGACUUUAUAGAACCAGAUACACUGACUUGCACAGGUUCCUGAGACGUAAGGACAACAACAUUCCCAGCUAAUGAUGGCUCACAACCAGCAAUCUUUAGUAAUUCCUGUAUAGCAAGAGCAGCAGAGUCUUGUAUGAUUGUAUCCUGUGCAGCUCUAAAAGCUCUUGCCAAGUGUUUGUCGAUGAGCUCAAAGAUAAGAUCAUCAUCUGAGCACUGGAUUUUAAAACGGUUGCACGAAGCAACUCUCACUUUGGCGGGGUCAACAGCACCUACAGCUCCAAGACAAUCUGCACAGACUAGCUUCAACCUCUGACCCACUGUAGUUCUUGAUUCUUCUGAACAUCCCUGUAGUAACGAUGUGAUCAAAGAGCUCAAGAUCUCCAUGUCUGACAUAAGUUCACCGGAAAUCAGUGCAGCAACAUCUUCAUUUCUUUGAUAUAACAAUUUGCUUAGCUCACAUGCCACCAUGUAUCUAACAUUCAGGUUCUCAUGUUUCAUACCAUUUACAAUUUCCCGUAACUGAUCCUUCAGGCUCAUUAAUCCACGUGCUUCUUGAAUAGCAUUGUUCAGUCCUGCUAAAGAAGGUAUGCUAGGUAAGAGUGGGAACUCACAGAUGUGCUGCUUUAGUAUAUCUCUAUUCUUCAAAACAAGUUCUUCAAGAAUUUUCACCACUUCGUCUAGACAUACAUGGGGACCUUCCUUCUCUCUUUCCAAGAAGGGUAUAAGCGCCGCAAAAACCUGAGAAAUCACAUGUUUUAUGCUAGACGGCGAGACGGCGGCCAAUUUUUUUGUGAAAAAAUGCAAGACUAAGAGACCCUCGCUCUGAAGUGCAUCUUUGUCAAUGGCAUGCAUAAGGAGAACCAUAAGCUUCGGCACAUAUGUGCUGAGAUAGUGACCCAUCAUCUCAAUGAGCAGCUUAAUACGCUUCAAUGCUUGUUUUUGAAGGAAAAUAUCGUCGGCAUGAAGCAUUUUUCUGUCAAUACUGUUAAGGAGUCCAACAAAAUGGUUUUGUAAGAAUCCUGGAAGAUCUUCAGCAUUUGUUAAGACUUUUGAGAUUUUCUUUAUUGCUUCAGGCAGUCUCUGUAGCCUGCAUAAGAAAAAUUCUGAAAUCAAACAGUAUGUCAUAAGAACAAACAAAAAGGACGUUCAGUUAUUUGUUUAAAAUGAUGAUUGAAGUUUCCUCUCACGACUUUAAACAACCUCUAUCUAGUCCAGUUAACAUGUCAACGUUAAUGAGCACACGAUAGAGCCGUAACCAUGCAUCAAAAGAAGAAGGACAACAUACCGUCUAUCUGUCUCGGCUGUAUCAGCAAUGUCCAAAAAGCACACAAGCUCAUCUAAGAGUGCAGGUAGUGCAGCAGAAAAAAUUUCUUUGUUGUCAGAACCAAUCUGUGAAUGAUACAACUGCAAAACUGAGAGGAGAUUCUUCUCUUCUUCUUGAUUCAGAGCAAAAGCAAGAACUCUGGGUAGCCAAUUUACUAUUAGAGGUACCACAUCUGUGUCUAAUAACUUGGCCAGUUCGUUCAAGGUCUUUGCUGCUUGAGCAUUGUCCUGCCAAUAUACCAAGAGCUUAGGAAGAAUAACAGGGACCAUUUUCUUCACCAGUUCUUCAGUUUCAACACCCAAAACAGCCUCUGCAAAUUCUCUUACUACAUUUGGACGGAUGGUCAGCCUGGCAGAUAGAUUAUCAAACAAUUUAGUUUGAAUAUGUGCAGCUCUGGAAAGUAGCAUCGCAAAUCCCCCUUUCACAUGGAUGUAGCAUGACCGAUUUAUUAACCUUGACGCAUUUACUCGGACGAUCAAGUUUGGAUGAUCAAGCUGAUCAAUCAGCAGGANNNNNNNNNNNNNNNNNNNNNNNNNNNNNNNNNNNNNNAGCAGGAAAAGAGAAAACAAGAAAAGCUCACUGGUAAUAUCAACAGCUACCAUAACUUCAGCUGCCGUUUCCAAGAGAGUCUGAAUGACAAGCAGAUCCUUAGCUGUUGCUAGAGAAUGCUCAAUCAAAUCAACAAAGUUCCUUUCGUAACUUUUUUCCGUAGCAUACUCAUCAAGAAACAAACAGCUCACAAUAGGUUGCUGUACAAAGAUACCAAUCUGCGCACAGAAUGCUUCCCUUACAUCUGUAUUUACAUGAAGUAGCAGAUACUGAAGGCAUCUUAUCCAUUGAGACCGUGUUCUGACCAGAAUAUCUGGGGUUGUGUGACCAAGAACUCUUUGUAUUACUUCUACACAGGCUAGUUGAGUCUCUUCAGAAGAGUCAUCAUAUAGAAGGUUAAAAUAUAAGGAUUGAAGAUCAGAGUAAUCACAAUGAUGACCCAUUUCUAAAUUUCCCAUCUCGGGAGUCUCUAUGAUUCUGAAAUGCUUCUCAUCUUUGCUUUCGAUAAGUUUAUCACACUUCGAACACUGGAACCCUUGAAGUAGACAGUUCAGAGUCUCAUCUUUCUUUAUAUCUUCAUGUAGGAAUAAAUGGCAUGCAGUUUUCUCUGGGCCAGUAGCACUUGAUCCAUAUAGGCACGAUAAGAAGCCAAGAGACUGAGGAAUGGUUUUCUUAACCAUCAAAUCCUCUUCUUUCAACAAAUGCCUACGAAUGUAAGACAAAAGAACAGUUAAGUUACGUUUUAAAAGAACCCUGAGCAAAAAGAGCAAUAUGAACUUUAGAUUCAUUAUAAUGUCAUUUUUCCAACUCAUUUCAAUAAUUCUUUUAGUUGCUUUGAUAGGUGCUAUUACUGUGUCUCGUCAAUAAAAAAAGUUCUGAUUAGUAAAAUUAUCAACUUACUCCAGCCUUCGGAAUAUAUGAGGAAGGGCAUCAAGACCAGUGAAAAGAACUUUAAGUGGCAUGGAGAUAACAGCAACAGCUCGCACUUGUUCAGAAUCAUCUGAAAGAGCCAUACUGAAUAUAUCAAAACCACUCCCGGAUUGUAUUCCAAGCUUCGUCCAUAUCCCCACGGAUAAGCACUUAGCCUUUCGUAGCGAACUAGGCCUCUUAAACAGCAGAGAGUGCGUCCAGGGAAGCUUCAGCAAGACUUGUAUAGCAUCCAAAUCAUUCUCUUUACUUGUAUAUUCAUGUUGUAAAUCCAAAUCUGAUGAAAGGAGAAAACAUCAAGAAAUGCUGAACCCAAAACUUGUAUAAAGCAAAGGAAAUGUCAGACUUCAUGGACAAGGAAGGUUACCAAGCACGAGUAGCAUAUUAUAUAUUCCUUCCAAAUAAAGAGAGAUAUCGAAGAUGAUAGAGCUUUUGUUCUCAACCUACAUACGGAUCUUUUUAAAUUAAAAAAAAAACUGAAUUGAAAACUUUAAUAUAAGAAAGGGAUUGGGGAGUUUAUGGUUACCUGCUCAGCUAUCCAGGGUAUCCAGGCAUACAUCUGGCGAAACAAGCGAUAAGUCAUUCUAGUCCAGGGACAUAAACAAAAUGCAUUGGUGAGAAUGCUAAGUGCCAUUAUCGAAAUUUCAGGCCGUAAUAGACUAGGUCCAGCAGGUGGAGCCUUUAAAGAUUCUACAGCUGAAAUAAGCAUCCUAUGCAGAUUGGCAGAAUCCUUUCCAUCAGUCUCAUCAGUAAUUUCAGGAGCAAAGUAAACCCCUUGUUGAGUAUCAACACCAACUUUCUGGCGCUUCCUUUUGUGGGUACUUCCAUCCUUCAUAUGCCUUUUUUGCCCAGCGUUAAUACCCUGAACAGGUCUAGCACUUGCUGCUGUUGUAUGACUACCACAUUUGGCUGUAUCAAAAUCAGGCCCAAGAACUACAAGAACUGCUUGAAAACAUUCUAUCAAUUGAAAACAAGGUUCUGAAAGAUGAAGCAACUCUAGAAGGCAAUGUAGCUUCCAAACAUAAGGAGGACAAGAUUUCACAAUCCGCACAUAAGCACUGCACAGGGAAGCCUGCAUACAUAAAUACCCAGGCAUGAUUUCCCAACAAGUUGUUGAAAGUGCAGCAGCAAAAAUCAAAUAGAAAUAAUUUCAUCAGAAAUUCAUACAAGAUUGAGACAUGUGUAUGAGAUCCAAAUAUACCUUAAGCUCCUCACUCUUUGUUCUCUGUAAUGCAUGAGGGAAGACCAAUACUAUACUUUCUGCAGUUAGUUUGACAGUAACAUCAGAACAACUGGAAUAUACUGUCGCAAGGCAACGUCCAAGGGUAGAAUCAUAAACCGCAUUCCUGUAACACAAACCGAGAAUUUGAAGUCUUAAAAUGAAGGUCAUUUAUCCGAAGUUUCAUAGGAAUAUGUGAGGAAGGUAAACAGAAAAGAUUCAAAAAAUUUUAAAAUUAAUUCACGAUCAUGUCAGAAUCUUGACAAGUUGGGAAACACACCUGUACACAGGAAGUCCUUCUUCAUCUGCACUUAAAAGGAGUAUGAUUGACUGUAUCAAACCCACAUGAGGGAGGAUGUUGAAACUAAGGAUAGAUCCAACGAGAGAAGCAAGUUCAAAGCAUGCCUUCCAAAUCAAUACAGAUAUCAGAUUAGUAUCCCCAAAAAUCAUCCUUACACUAACAAAUCAGAAAAACCAAAUCACCAAGCGAAUGAGCAAAAUAUCAACUCACCAUCUGCACAUCAGCACCACCAUAGCAUACCAAAGAACAAGCCGCCUUUAAAAAUGACGUAUGGAUGAGACCCUCAACGUAGAGUGUCCCCUCGGUUAGGCAUUUACAGAUGAGUUUAAUGACACAAGUAGCAAAAGGCUCCCACCGUUUGGCUCCCAAUAAGCUCAACACAAGACCAUCCCCCUCUGCUGGCUUAUUAGCAACAGGCAGAUCACAAAGAUGACAGGAAUCACCCCAAACUCCGGAAAAGGACAUAGAGAAACACCUAAUCGGAAUGUGAGAUUCAUAUGCAAUAGGUUGCAUAUCUGGUGGACACAUAGAAAAAGGCAUGUUAAGUAGAAGAACUCGUAUUAUUAACAUUCACAGAAUCACUUGGUCUUUGAGUCUCACCUUGAAUAGCCUGCAAAGCGUCGUGGAAGAACAUACGGUAGGCCUUCCUUGAGUUGGAACGCAGCAGCAUUAAGAGAGAUCCAACAGUGUCGAGUAUCACUACAUGCCCAGGACUGCAAUUGGUUAACAAAGAGAAACACAUUAAACCGAAACUCGGUCUAGUAACCAGUGGGGGAUUCAAACUUACGCAAAUUCCGGUUCAGNNNNNNNNNNNNNNNNNNNNNNNNNNNNNNNNNNNNNNNNNNNNNNNNCAGCAAAAAAGGGCAAAAUAUGAGCAAUCACAGGGAAGACGGCAGCAGGAUCUCCGUGAUAGAAAACUCCUGGAAGAUUCCUCGCUGUAUGACCAACAAGCUUCAGUACAGCUGUCACUUCCCUCCUGCUCCCUGGCAAAAUCAAUCAUCCACAUCUGAGGUUUAACCUAAUUGAAAUCAUCCAGAGGGGAAAAAUAGAGAAAGAGAUUGUGGCGAUUUGGUACCCAGAGAAGGGACGACGUAUGCGUUCAGAAGAUUAGGGAUGACGGCUCGAAAUCGAAUCUCUAGAGCAUCGUCUUCUCCGUAAGCGUGGCCAAGGUUGUUAGCCGACGAUGCUGCGACGCGUUCACGGAGUUCGUGAACCAAGCUCGAGAGAUUAUUGUCGUUCGCCAUUUCAGUGUGUCCCAGACGCUUCUUCUCCGCCUGCCUCUCUCCCCCUCUCUCCCUUCCCUCCCAAUUUUUUAAAAGAAAAUAAAAAAUGUAAUUUGUGUAGUGACUGGAGAAUAAUAUGGGAGGGAAACCAAGAAAAAAAUGCAAUAUAUAACAAACAAACAAUUAGUAAUUCAAUAUCUACAGAUAUAAAUAUUUUAUGUAUUUUCAUUUCUAUCAAAAUAAAAUAUUUUUACUUUCCAAAAGUAUGUAUACACUUUUUGUAAUAUAUUUUUGGAAAAUAAAUUUUAUAUAUUAAAUCAUAUUCGGAUUUCUUCAAAAAGUAUUCAAGAUAUAAAUAUUUAUUCGAUCUGCAUUGAGACAAACAGUUCAUAUUUGUUGAACAUAAUCGAGAACAUAUCUAACUCGCUUAUUUUUACAUCGGAGUUAACUUAAAACUUGAUUGACAAAAUAUUUACAAAGCACUAUGCUUCUUCUUCCCUCUUUUUUUUUUGUGCAAAUCAUAUUCACUAUAAUUAAACCAGAGUUAUAAGAAACAAAGCUUGUACGACAAAACUGUCAAUUAAAACAUUAACAUUCUGAGAAUAACCUAAACUUGGUAGACUUAAAUGAUAGAGAUAGAAGGUAUAUAUCUGCUAGCACCUAGAGAAAAUCCAUCCCACAGGUGAGGGCGAAGGUUAUGGCCGAGCGAAAAGCCAAGGCUUCCGCCAUAAGGGGCGACAAUGCGAAAGUUGAAGUUGCUGCAUACUGUGAACAUGAUAUCAGAUCAUCAAUAAUCUAACUAAAACUAUUUUACUUUUUUUUUUGAAACACUAUUAAAACUAUUUUACAAACAAUACUAUUUUGACACAUUUUCUUGUUCACAAUGUCACUUUGAACUUCCAAUUUAAUUUAUAUAUGUUUUAAGAUUAACAUUAAUUGCAAAAUACUUAAACUUAUAAAUAAUUUUAUUUAUCUAGAAGUAUUAGUUAAACUAAUAUAAUUAUUAGAGACAUAAAUGGACUUCGAUCAUUUUUCUAAUUUAUGUAAAAAGUUCAAAAAAACAUUCUUUGUAAAACAAAGGGAGUAUAAGAUUUUGCAUUUGGACUGUUGCCAUAAUUUACUGUUAGGCAGUUUUGCAAAGCCUUCGAUCAUGAAAAGCAACUCCAAGUAAAAAAGAAUGAUCCAACUUGUAAACAUCUCCUGGGGAUUAACUUCAAAAGUUUUGGUUUGACACAUUCUUUCCCCUAAUGCACAAAGACAUUAAUGUCUAGGAUGGUCUAAAGUACAUACAUAUGGGUGGAUUGAUUCUUAAGAUGGAAAGAACCGCAGACGGUAUUGUCCAUAUUCCAUCACCACAUAUCAGUCCUGAAGCUACUGCACCCGAGUAAUCAUCUGCGUCUUUCUUAUCCAUCCGUUCCCAUAUGAACAAAACCACGGUCCCAACGAACAUGUCGAUGGCAAAGUACGCUCCUAUAUAGAAUGGAGCAGCCAUAGCCAUAGGAAGUGGUGUAAACUUAGAGAUCUUAGGCGGUGUGAUGUCUCUGACAAGAUUCACAACGAGAGCAGCGAGAAAGAAUCCGCAACAAAGAGCCAAACAGUGUUUAGGCAGUUUCGCAAACCCUUCUAUCCCAAGAAUAGCCAUUUCUCGGUAGAUAACAGCGUAAGGCGCUUUGUAAAGACCAUCGGGAUCUCCGACCUCAAAAGCAGUCCAAAACAUCCAAAACGUGAGAGGAGCGAUCACGCAACCCAUUGCUGUACCCAACAGCUGAGUUACAAACAUGGAUUUCGCAGAUGAUAACGUGAGGUAACCUGUUUUGAAGUCUUGCAUGAGAUCUGCUGCGGUUGAGACGAUUGCCAUCAUAACACCACAUGCUGAUAAACCGGCAAUGACUCCACCACCACCACCACCACUAUUGUUUUCUACAAUCGAAGCUAUGGUGAAAAGACCAAUCUUUCCGUAGGUCGAAGGCAGGCUCAUAUCCGUGAGCCCUGCUCCAUAAGAGUUGCAAAAGGCUAGACCCGGUGCAACCAAGUAUGAAGAGAGGACAAAGUACCAUUUCAAUGGUGGGAAUAUUAACGGGAUGGUUGCGGUCGAAAUGGCUGCUAGACACACAUAACCAGAAACCGCGAAACCGAGGGGUAUAUGGUCCUUGAGAAACACUUCAUCUCUUUUCUUCUUCUCCAGCAGUGAUUCCAAGCGCUCACCACUCUCAUCUGAAUCAAGAAACUCUUAAGAAAUAUGUUUGAGAAAGACUAUUACUUAAAAAUUGCGAUAGAUAAGUCAGAAUCAUAUGUCCUUCACACCUAAAACGUCAGUAAAGACAGGUAGAUAUUGUUGUUUGUUGAAGAGUUCCUUCAUAGUGAGAAUAGUGAUCUUGAUGAGGUUGUAGAGACCGUCACCAAGGAUGAUAGCAAUGGGGAUAAAGACCUAUAAAUGUGGUAAUGACAUGAAAAAAAGCAUGGUUCAAGAAAGUACAUAUGAAAAAACUUAUUAUCGUUACCUUAUAUCCGUAGAGACCUUUGAAAUCGUUGGUCUCAAGGUCAGAUGGAUACCAGUCUCCAGCAUGUUGUGAUAUGAACGGCCAGAGGAAACCCCAAGAAAUGAUAGCGCCCAGAAGAACAGAGCAGUUCACUAAAUGGGGACAUAUCAGACCACAUCCAAUAAAAGUAGGACUAAAAUCAAAGUAAAACCUGCAAAGUCAUGAUAACUUGUUACAACACAUGAUAAUCUUGUGUAGUGUUAACAGAGAAACUUACGUGUUCUUGAAUAGGGUCAAACCAAGUGUGGGAAAGUUAUCAAACCCACAUGCAUCUCCAAUACCACUAAAGAACCACUUGAAGCAACUCCAAACAAAGCUAAGGCUGAGAUACUUCCCAAGACAUUUAACUUGGUUUCUGAAGUAAUUAAACAAUAAUAUUAGAGAUAAACAUUAGAGCAAAAAAAAAACAGGUAGUGAGAUUAAAGAUGAUAUCUCUGAAAAUUACCCUGCAAGCUCGGCUCCAGAGUUGUCAUGAAAACUGUUAAUCAGCAUUGCUGUAGCGGUUCCACUGGGAUACGUAAGCUUGUAGUCCAAAAUCAUCACCUGAGAUAACACUUUUGAAUAAGUAUCAAGAAACCACAAACAUCUAAGAAAUCUUUUCUCUUAAUUAGUGAGAUGAUACCUUGCGAAGUGGAACGAGACUGAAGAGACCGAGGAAGCUGACAGCAAAUAAGAAUACAAUCAUCCACCACAAUCCAGGAUUUAUAACAUCUUCAGGAUUGUUUCCCGGACGAUCAGCACCAAUGAGCUUGUAUGUCCUCUCAUCCAUAGCUAUCAAAUACGAACCAAAUCCUCCUGAACACAGUUAAAGAGUUAGAAACUCUAUCAGAGGACCAUUCCAUAUAAUCCUUAUGUAGUAGCAAUCAGUAAACAGUCACAUAGACAUAAAACUUGGAAGCUUAUUACAAAAUCACACAAAAAUAAUCAAAAGUUAUCCACAAGAUCAACAUUUAAAUAGCUCAGGACAUAUCUUAGAACAGCUUAGGUGUGAAAGGAGAUGUCAAUCUCAAUUUACCGCUAUAGGCGAGGCCGUAGCAAGCGACAACGCAAGUCUGAAUAACGGUGUUCUCUUGCUUGGUAAAGGGUUUAACUGAAAACCCUAGUUUCGACAAGAAACCAGUCCAUGACUUGACGAAGAAGAAACCGAGGAGACCAGCAGCUACAUUUAGCGAAGGAAUGAUUCCGACAGUGAGGUUAAGCUUAUGGGUAAUGAUGCAGAACAAGAUCCCUAACAAGGCGCUAGCGAUCAAGCCUCGGGUCGUGAUCUGAUCCUUCCAAUGAGGUAUAACAUCUUCGUCAUGAUUCGUUGCAGGGAACAACAAUGUCUCUGAGAUCUCCAUUGACCUUAGAAUCUCUGUCUCCAUUACUUCCUUUCCCCUCGAAACUUAGCAGCUUUAAGUUGAGAAUCUCCGUUGACCAAGAUUAGUCCAUGUGAGCUGUCAACGAGGAUAGGAUAGUGAUUACAGAAGCACGACACGACUACUAAACAAACGAACAUGGCCUAUAUGGUAGUCAAUUUGCGAAGACUGAUGUACUUUUAGUUAUCAAUAAAAUGGUGAAUUAAUCUUUUUUUCUUUAAUUAAGUAUUAGUAACAGUUUUGUCAUAUCUAUUUUUAAUGACCAGAAAUAAAGGUCUGAGAACAUGAAAGCAAAACAGAACAUAGCUUUAAAGAGCAGAGCAACGAUUUAAAAUCAAAACCUAAAGCAAAUGGAGUUAACCUGAUGGUCGCACCACAGGCAACUCAGGCUAAACGGUGGAGAACCAAUCUCAGAUGAUCAUGGAAAGUACUCUUCUGAGUUAGGUGAAUUAACUAUGGUCUUUCACUAAUUCAUUCUAAAGCAUGUAACUGUUUUCAAAGUUGUUAUACAAUGCAAAUUCUCUCUCUCUCUCUCUCGUUUGAAAAUGAUUAUUAGAAGUAAAAAAAAACGUUUCUGAUCAUUAGACUCUUGCGUGUGUGUGGAAGUUACUGCCUCGGUGGAGGAGGCAACUGAGAUUUAGCAAAACUGAUCCAUGUAGCAAUUCCAGCGGCUAAGAUGACCCAUCCCAUUACAUCAUACUUGAGAUCACUGCUCUUCUUUUUCUUCACAUUCUGCGAUAGAAAAAAAAACACACAAACGUUAAUUAGAUUUCACUUCAUCAAAACCCCCAAUUCGCAUUUUUGGAGUAAAAAGAAAGGACCUCUGAAGUCGAGGCAGAGGCUGAUGGUCCAGCGACACCGCCUAAAGCUUGUGGGCCUAAACCAUGGCUAUGAGCAGCUUUAUGCAGCUCUGGAGCCUGCAACAAGCGCGUUGGUCAAAAGAACAAAAACCAAAUCUUCACAUCAACUAUUGAGAGUCCAAACCACUAGCAAAAACUCCUAUUACUAGAGGAACAUCAACACCAUCUACUUAUCAUUGUACCUUAGAAGUCAGCUCCAAAGAUUUGCGGUAGAGUUCGUUUUCAGGUUGCUGCAAACAAUAAAAGAAAAUUCUCACGUUACAGCACAAGAAAGAUGAUGAUAUUGUAAUAGUAUUACCUCGUCAAGAGCUUGUUGAAAGUAGUGAGAAGCUUUCUGAAAGUGAUCGGCAGCGACGAUUUCAUCAGGAAUCAUAAAGCCAUAUGAAGUGUGGACAUUCCCAAUGCACCAAAGCGCAGCGUGCUUCUUCGGAUCGAUUGACAAGGCCUCUUCCAGCUUCGAUAUGGCAUCUACACAAACCAAAAUUAAUUUAUCAUUCAUUCUAAAAAAAAGAAGCUAAUAAUAAUUAAUCUGAAUCUCCACCUAGAAGCAUUUGCUUUGAGGCUGUGGGGUUCUGAAACUGGGAGAGUUCUAAUAAAGCUCCUCCCCAUCUCAACAAGUUCUGCAGAAAUUCAUUAAAAAAAAAAGGUGGAGACUUUAUCAAUUUUCUUUAGAGCCAAUCAAAAACGAAUCUUAAAGAUUAGGGAGAAUACGAACAUCGGCAUCUAGAGGGUUUUUGAUGUAAGUAGCUUCUGCUGCUUUCCGAGCAUGUUCGAAGAACAUCAAUCUCUCGAUUUCUCCCUGCAUAUCCAUUCUUUUCUCUCGAGCUUCCACAGAACAACCAAGGUUACAAAAUUGCCAGAGGAUCGUUUUCUUUAGGGUUUUUUUAAUGGGGAAUUAAUUAAUGAGAAUUUAGUCCCUACAGAAAACCAAUAUUAGUUUAAAUGCGUUUUCUUUAGAGUAUUUGCAUUUCAUAUACAAAGAUUAUUGUGUAUUUGGAUAACUACCUGUAACUAUUAUUUAUGGAUUGACUGUCUAUCCCCAUCCCAAGACACAUUAACCCUACUUAUUUUCCUCCCGCCUAACUAUCAACCUUUUCGUAAAUCCACCUCAUCAUAUACUUUCUCUUUAAAUCUCCCCUCUUCAUAAAUUUUUUUUUUGAAGCUAGAAUACCUCCUGCUUGUUAUAGACGACCUUAACUUCCUAUGACUUCAUUCUAAUCACCUAUAAAUAGAUCCUCAUGCCGUAGUUCUUUCCUUACAUCAAAAACCUAACCAUAGGCAUUCCAAGUGCACCAGAGCCUUAAAGUAAACCUUCUAGUCUUUAGCUUUCCUUUUAUAUUUAGUUUCUAGUUCUUUAUUUAGAUUUAUGAUUAGAUCCUGAUUUUGACUUACAUAAAAUCAAAAAUCUGUUUGUUUUAUGAUUAUGAUCUAGAUGGGGCUUGUUCUCUGGCAGACAACAUUGGCCAAAAUGAUCACCUUGGUGCGUAAUACACAAUGGUGAUUAAUUGAUUGUUUUCAUUAGAACUUGUGUCUUCGUUUGUGGUUGUUAAUUACAGAAAACAAUUAUUUAUGGAAAGAAGAACACCUCAGCGAUCAUAAAGAUAACAGCGUGUGAAGGGUGGAUGUUUUGGAAGUGGAAAGUCUGAAAGCUCAAAUUACUUGAAUGUUUUUUCCACUCUGUGUGCAUGAUGGAUUAAUUGAUUGGAUGAUGAUUGAUGCAUAUUGGGAGAUAAUUUAAUUGUUAGAGAAUUUCGACUCACCCAGCAAAUUAGUUGCUAAUUAGUUUUGCGGGAAACUAUAGGAGUAUCUUAGGUUACGAAGGAGCAGUAAUGCUAGCGUUGUUUUUAUGCGUUUUACAAAUAAGUAUGCAUUGUAUAAGUAUUAAGUUUAAAAGUAGUGCCUUAUAUAUGAUUGAUGUUGUUUGAACCUAAUAAGUAUUAUAUGAAUAAUAAAAGUUUAUGAAAUGCUUGGGUAUCAUCACGAAUAUUCAUCAGAUCUCCUCUACUUUCUCUUCUAUUGUCUUCAUCCACAUCUCUCGUGAUCAAAACCGAAAGUCAGACCGGCUGGCUAAAAGAGCCUUGGCCCAGCUACGCUCUAUCUCUUUUCCGAAUUUCAUGCAAUCCCUAAAUGGACCAAACUAUUUUUGGGCCUUCCUCCUAUCUUAAUGAAAACUAGAUCUUGACCCGCACAUCUGUGUGGGUUUUUUCUAUACUAAAAUAUUUUAGUUUAUAUAACAAAAUUUACCAAUAAUUUAAUGUAAUUUAGUAUUAUAUAAUAUAUAACUCUAUAAUACCGAUGUUUAUGUGGAUUAUAUAUUAUGACGAUGAAUUUUUUGUAUUUUUGUACCAAAUAUUAUUUUGAAAAAAAUUAUUAGGUAAAAAUACUACUUUACAUAUUUUUAUUCCUAAAUUUCAUUUUUAUAUGGAUAAAAAUAAUUUGGACCUAUCUAUAUAGUAGAGAAGAUAACUUUUGCGAUAAUGUUAAAAACAACAAUAGAUAUUUUUAAGAAGUAAACUAUAAUACAACGUACUUCAAAAUAAAGUAAAGAUCAUAUUUGAGAAAAUACUUGAAAUACAAUAAGUUGGAUAAAAACAUUUCUUUUAAUUUGAAAUAGAAAUGAAUCUUUCUAACAAAAUAUUUUUGAAAUCUUUGUAAAAUGUUUUUUUUUAAAUUAAUCAGUUUAAAUUGUUAUUAUCAUUAAAAUAUAAAUAAAAUCCUUCAUAUACUUUUAAAUUGUCGAAUAAUUAUAUAUUGAUGGAAUAAUAUAUUUUCGAAAUUAAUAAAAUCUAAUAAUAUUUUGAUUGAAUAAAAAGAGAAUUAAAUAUGUUGUUGGGAUUUUAUUAUGAACAUACAAAAAAGUUAUGUAAAAAACUUUCUAGGAAAUAGUCCAUUUAAAAAUAUCACACAUGAAAAUAUCACACAUGAAAUAAGUCAUGAUUUCUACUUUAAUAGUAUAGAUGUUUGGUGCACAAAAAAGUGAAAUGUUUGGGUUCCAUGUAUUAUUAGUCUAGUCUAGGAUGAACCAACAAAUGGUUUCAAAUUUGGAUUACAAAACCUUAACUUGGAACCGGUAGGAAACCCAUUUUUAGAUAUUUGACCUUGGGAUUUUUGAGUUGAUGUAGGAUAUUUGGAUCAAAUGUUUCGGUCCGUGGUAGUAACAUUUUUGAUCGGGUUAAAAGAAAUUUGUUGGUCGUAUAUGUUCUUAUUUGUAACAAUUUUGAUCGGGUUAAAAGAAAUUUGUUGGUCGUAUAUGUUCUUAUUUGAUUAUUAAACGGAAAACUAAUCAUAUUAGUUGAAGGCUCCUACAUCAGAUACAAAUAUUCUUCUCAUAGUCAAGCUCAUCUUUCAAAUAGUUAUAUACAUGGUCUGGAGAGAAAGAAAUUCUAGAUUGCAUACGAACUUAUGCAGACCUCUUCAGGCAAUUAUUCAGGAAAUCAAGCAAACUCUAAGGCUAAGGCUUGACCCACUGUCUCGGGACAUGAGGACCACCAAUAGCUUUUCUCUUACUUUUUUGGGAUCUUGGUUAAUUUUUUUAGGGCAUUGUUAAGUCUCUGGUAUAGUCUCCCCCUCUGGUUUACAAGGCAGGUGAUCUAUGCUUGUAAUCAGUUCCAUUAAUUUUGAAUAAAGAGUAGUUUUAACAAAAAAAAAAAAAAAUUCUAAUAGGGGUGUUACAGUCAUAUCACAUCCCCAAGGUCGAGGAAUUGCAUAACAAACUCGAAGAGUGUACGUACCAUAGGCGGUGAGUCGAUGCCGUGUUCAAUACUACCAUCUUAUUAAAAAUAAAAUAAUGUUGUCGCCAAUAUAUUUGUCUAACUUCAUACUCCAAGAAAAUAUGCAAAUCUCAGUAUGCAAUUAUUUAAUACUGGAAAAUGCAAAUUUAUCACGAGAAGACUUGUGCAGCUGGAGAUCUAUAUUGUUUCAUUUCUAAUAUAUAACAUUGAUCAAACCCAUAGAAUCAUUAUUUCAAAAUAGCAUUUGUUCGUAUAGACUUUGAAUAUCAUUUUUAGAUAUAUAAGAAUCGCAAGUUACAAGUGAUUGUCAAAGAGAAAUCGACAUCUAGAAAGAAAUAAACAACUCAUAAGGCCAAAAUAACAAGCUGGAGAAUUUUAUUUUGGAAUGUCGGUGUAAUUUCGAAAACAUUACAACACUCAAAUCAACAUCUUUAAACUCUCAAAGAUAAGAUUCAUCCUUUUUCAUAACGUUGGGGUCUUCUGGACUGGUCUUGUUCAGUUACAACCAAUGAUCAACCAAGACAUUGUGUGUGUGUGUGUUUUUCUUAUAUAAAGCAUUAAAGCUUCUAUAUAUUUUCAAGUUAUAAUUGGUUCAUGUUAUCAUCAUCUCGAUUCGUAGGAUAAAAAGCAAAAAUCAAAAACUCACAUGAACCAUGACGAGGUACGUGUCCCACAAAUGAGACCAGCCAGUUGAAAUAGAUCUGACAUCCGCUAACACUGUGAUCACUUGUGGCCCCAAUGAAAACAAGAUCGUUGUCAAAAGGACUCUACAAGUGGACACAUGGUCUCCACAGUUGCCACGUGUAUGUUCAUCUGUAUGUCCCCAAUCUGCGGCGAAAUUGACGUUAAAGAAAAUACAUCAUAGAAUCCUUUUUCUUUGUUUGNNNNNNNNNNNNNNNNNNNNNNNNNNNNNNNNNNNNNNNNNNNNNNNNNNNNNNNNNNNNNNNNNNNNNNNNNNNNNNNNNNNNNNNNNNNNNNNNNNNNNNNNNNNNNNNNNNNNNNNNNNNNNNNNNNNNNNNNNNNNNNNNNNNNNNNNNNNNNNNNNNNNNNNNNNNNNNNNNNNNNNNNNNNNNNNNNNNNNNNNNNNNNNNNNNNNNNNNNNNNNNNNNNNNNNNNNNNNNNNNNNNNNNNNNNNNNNNNNNNNNNNNNNNNNNNNNNNNNNNNNNNNNNNNNNNNNNNNNNNNNNNNNNNNNNNNNNNNNNNNNNNNNNNNNNNNNNNNNNNNNNNNNNNNNNNNNNNNNNNNNNNNNNNNNNNNNNNNNNNNNNNNNNNNNNNNNNNNNNNNNNNNNNNNNNNNNNNNNNNNNNNNNNNNNNNNNNNNNNNNNNNNNNNNNNNNNNNNNNNNNNNNNNNNNNNNNNNNNNNNNNNNNNNNNNNNNNNNNNNNNNNNNNNNNNNNNNNNNNNNNNNNNNNNNNNNNNNNNNNNNNNNNNNNNNNNNNNNNNNNNNNNNNNNNNNNNNNNNNNNNNNNNNNNNNNNNNNNNNNNNNNNNNNNNNNNNNNNNNNNNNNNNNNNNNNNNNNNNNNNNNNNNNNNNNNNNNNNNNNNNNNNNNNNNNNNNNNNNNNNNNNNNNNNNNNNNNNNNNNNNNNNNNNNNNNNNNNNNNNNNNNNNNNNNNNNNNNNNNNNNNNNNNNNNNNNNNNNNNNNNNNNNNNNNNNNNNNNNNNNNNNNNNNNNNNNNNNNNNNNNNNNNNNNNNNNNNNNNNNNNNNNNNNNNNNNNNNNNNNNNNNNNNNNNNNNNNNNNNNNNNNNNNNNNNNNNNNNNNNNNNNNNNNNNNNNNNNNNNNNNNNNNNNNNNNNNNNNNNNNNNNNNNNNNNNNNNNNNNNNNNNNNNNNNNNNNNNNNNNNNNNNNNNNNNNNNNNNNNNNNNNNNNNNNNNNNNNNNNNNNNNNNNNNNNNNNNNNNNNNNNNNNNNNNNNNNNNNNNNNNNNNNNNNNNNNNNNNNNNNNNNNNNNNNNNNNNNNNNNNNNNNNNNNNNNNNNNNNNNNNNNNNNNNNNNNNNNNNNNNNNNNNNNNNNNNNNNNNNNNNNNNNNNNNNNNNNNNNNNNNNNNNNNNNNNNNNNNNNNNNNNNNNNNNNNNNNNNNNNNNNNNNNNNNNNNNNNNNNNNNNNNNNNNNNNNNNAAAGAGUGUUUACAAGAAGAAUUAAUAUACAAAUUUGGGCUUUUCUUAAUUGAUAAACUUACCAUCAGAAAGACAGAAACCGUAAAUGUUAAAAAUAGUUUUGGCACAUGGAAAGAAGUCAAUACAUGUCAAUGCCUAAUUGGUAGCAGUCCUUAGAGCAUCUACAUUGGUGAACCCCCCUUUGGGGUUCAUACCAAUUUUUUAAUAUAUUUAUGGUGGGACCAUGAAUAGUGAUGAACUUCUUGAUUUUGUACUUCUCCAUUAGUGAACCCGAAGAAGGGGUUCAUAGGAACUAAAAUAAUAGUUUUUUUAAAAAAAUUUAGUUUUGAUUUUUUUUUUAAUACAUGAAUAAAAUAUAAUAAUUUAUAAAAUUUUAUUCAUUACAUUGAUAAUUGAUGAACAUAGAAAGAUUAUUCAUUACCGAAUUUUUGCCAUACAUUUUCAACUAAAUCAGCUUUCAACCUAUCAUGUUUUCCUGAAUCCCGAAGUUCAUUGCGCAUGCCUAGCAUAUUAUGUGCAUGCAAACUUUCUCUCGUUUUGACCUUCGAACCUCUGCUUGACUCUCCUGACUCGAACUCAGAUGUAUCAGUAAGACUGUAUCCGUCUCGUUCGUCCUCCACUAUCAUAUUGUGCAAUAUGACACAAGUUCUCAUAAUUUUCCCUAUCUUUUCCUUGUCCCAUAGUAGAGCAGGGUUUUUAACUAUUGCAAACCUCGAUUGCAAAACCCCGAAAGCACGUUCGACAUCUUUUCUGGUGGAUUCUUGACGUUGGGCAAAUAGCUCAGCUUUAGGACCUUGAGGAAGUGGGAUGGAUUGGAUAAAUGUUGACCAAUUCGGAUAAAUUCCGUCAGUAAGGUAGUACGCCAUACGGUAAGUGUGGUUGUUGACCUUGAAUUUAACUUUAGGGGCUCGACCUUGCAGUAUAUCAUCAAAAACUGGUGACCGAUCAAGAACAUUGAUAUCGUUGAGGGUACCUGGUAAUCCGAAAAAUGCGUGCCAUAUCCAAAGAUCUUCUGAUGCCACAGCCUCUAAGACAAUUGUUGGUUUUCCUGAACCACGGGUGUAUUGGCCUCUCCAAGCCGUUGGACAGUUCUUCCACUGCCAAUGCAUACAAUCAAUGCUGCCUAUCAUCCCGGGAAACCCGCGCUUCUCGCCAAUGUCGAGUAAUCGUUGAAGAUCUUCCGGUGUUGGUGUUCUUAGAUACUCAACUCCAAACAAUUGUACUAUCCCAUUAGUGAAAUGUUCUAAACAUAAAAGUGCAGUACUUUCACCAAGUCGAAGAUAUUCGUCAUACGUAUCUCCAGAUUGACCAUAUGCGAGCAUACGUAUAGCUGCAGUACAUUUUUGAAGUGGUGAUAGGCCGUACCUGCCGUGAGCAUUUCUUCUUUGCUGAAAGUAUGGAACUUCAGUAGUAAGGCGAUCAACAAUGCGGAGGAACAAGGGUUUGUUCAUUCGAAAACGCCGCCUAAACAUCACCGGCGGGUAAGUGGGAUUUUCGUGGAAAUAGUCGUUCCAUAGUUGAAUGUGUCCUUGUUCCCGAUCUCUUUCAAUAUAAGCUCUUUUUUUGGGCUUGUUGGUUUGAACAUCUAGUAGGGAGUCGAUGAUAUUAUCAAAUUCUUCGUCAAACAUAUCUUCAAAGGCUUCAUCAACGCCAUCUGACUCUGAGGAUGUCAUAACUGAAAAAAACAAAUAUUUUAAAUAUCUCUACGAAUAUCAUAUUUUCGUUUUUAAUUAUAACAUUAAUUAAAAAAAAAAAAAUAAAUCUUGGAAUGUCAUAUUUUCGUUUUUAAUUAUAACUUAUAUGUGGAACCUUAAUUUUUUUUUUUUCAAUAAAUCUUGGAAUUUCAUUUUUUCGUUUUUAAUUAUAACUUAUAUGUGGAACAUUAAUUACAGACUAUAGAUAACAAAACAAAGAAUUUUAGAUUUUACUUGGUCACUCGAUUUUGUAGUCGGCGAGUGUCUAGUGGUUGGCUGGUUCGACAGAACAAGAGUGAGGCAGCUGGUUUGAGAGAACAAGAGUAAGGCGGAUGGUUUGAGAGAACAAGAUGGAGGGGUAUCGACCUUGAGAGAACUAUGAUUUGUAGAUACAGAGAAGAGAACUAUGCUUUGGCAUUUGAGAGAAGAGAACAUAAACACAUGUUAGAGAGAAGAGAACAUAUAUGAGAGACAUGAAAUACUUGUCCUUUUUAUAACAAACUUUUACAAGUCCCGUGAAGUGUAGAGACAAACAAAAUACUACACUUCAUAUUACAAUCCGUGACACCAAGUUCAUCACUAGUGUCUAGUACAAACACUGACCUGCUGCGACCCAAAAGAUACAUGUAGUACUACAACUACAUGAACAACCCGUGAACUACUACUACUACAAUACCCGUGACACCUACAAAACCCAUCAAGUCCAGACUUUAUCUCCCAUAUGCCCGUGACCAACGGCCCCACAGAUCCUUUCACCUGCAAAAUAACACAGAAGAAUAUAAGUUUCAAGUCAACAAAAGCAGUUGUAAAAUUAUCAAAGCAAGUAAAGAAGCAAACAAAGAGUUCAAGAAAUUUUCAACUAAACAACCUAAAGCAUCUCAGAAACAAGUUUGUCCUUCAAAGCGACCUCAGCUUCAGUUAGAGUAGCUAUGUUCUUAGAGAGGAGACGAUCAAGUAUUUUCUGUUUCGAAAUAUUCUGUUUCUUCUCUAGAAUGAUCUCCAGGCGAUCAAAUGCAGCUUCAUUGCCAGGCUUCUUGCGUUUGGCUGCUUUGCAAGCCUUAACGCCAGGAGGCCUAGCCUCAUCCGAGUCAGGCACCGUCUCCGCAGCUUCCUUCAUUUUCGCCUUUCCACCAUCUCUUGAUAUAGAGUUCGAUCUCCACUUCUGAUCAUACCUCAGCUCCCUCCACGCGUGUUCAAGUGCAAACUUCGCCUGGUGGUCGUUAAAGAAGAUGUCAUGAGCUGACUUCAUGACAUCGUUCUCGUUCUGCCCACUUGAUUGCUCCUUCAAUGCUGCCUCAUAGCUUCCCACAAAUUUACACACUUGUUCAUUCACCCUUCCCCACCUCUGCUUACACUGACUCCACUCUCUAGGUAGAAAGCCACCUAGCUGAGCGCUUGCAUUAAAGUAAUCCUCUAUUCUUCUCCAAAACGACCCUAGUUUCUGCUGGUUACUAACUAUGGGAUCUUUGCUUGUGUUUAACCAGGCACUGAUGAGGAUAAUGUCUUCUUGAGUCGUCCACUUUCUCCUUUCACCAGCCGGUUUAGGAACCUCAGACGACCCUACUUCUACGGUUUUACUGGACUGGGAAGAUAAUAGGUUCACAAAACCGGGAGAACUUUGUGAAAACGUAUCCAUUUUGGUUUGGGGUUGUGUUUUGUUGUUUGUUAGAAGUUUUAAAAAGGAUUAUGUAUUUUUUAAAGAACUACUUGCGUUUGAGUUACGGGUGGUUUCCUAACUACCAAACAUUCAUUACACUUAAUUAGACAACAACUUGUUCACAGACAUUCAUUACACAUCAAAUCAAUUCUAAAAAACUCUAAAACGUUUAAGACACAGCAAUUUAAGCGCAUUCAUCACAGCAACCAACCAGAGGAACCAAACUAGUACUAGAUAUUUAAUGAAGUACUACUACACUCCCUACUCUAGAUAUUUAAUGAACAAGUUAACUCUCAGUUCAACCAGAGGAAGCAAGUAACCACACGGAAACAGUUCCUACUCGAGUUCCUAGUUAAGUCUCAGUUUCUACUCUACACGGAAACAGUUCCUACUCAAGUUCCUAAUGUAUUAUAGACAGUUCCUACUCAAGUUCCUAGUUAAGUCUCAGUUUCUACUCUACACGGAAACAGUUCCUACUCAAGUUCCACACGGAAACAGUUCCUACUCGAGUUGAAAGUUUACCUGUUCUGUUUCAGUCGAAACAGGCCUUCUCCAGAGCAGCCGCCUGGACUGUGAGGUUAUAGACGUCACCAGUGAGCUUAUCAAGCAGCAAUGUGAGCCUCUUAACCUGUGCCUACAUAAGAGAUAAAGAAAACUUGUAACUCACUUAUAAAAACGUAAAAAGUGUUCACAAAUUUGAUGAUCUCAAAUUUGAUGAUCACCCAAAGAGAUAAAAAGUGUUCACAAACCUCAAGACUGUCGAUCUGUUUAGUGAGAAUGGGCACACAUUUGAUGAUCUCAACAGCCUCAUCCACACGCUCACGCAUGCGUACCAUCUCCUCCUGGACACCUAUAACCCAAGGCUGACGGUAAUGCAACCCAUCAGCCUUGGUUAAACCACGGAAACAUCAGUCAGACAACAUAUUUAACUAGAAAAUUUAGACAACAUAAUAAGACAUGUGAGAUUAAUGAAGGGAAUGCGAAUGAUGUGGGUUACCUCGUAGUUUAUGCAGCUGAAGAAGCGCUUCCCGGGACGCGUGUCGUACUCCUCCUUCACCCGAACCUCGUCGAUGAUUCUACCACCACACGGACAGCUUGUCGGCAUCCCAUAUGACGAAUCGGCAACGUUGUACAGGUGGUCGAUGAACUCCUGCUUCCUCUUAAAAUCUGUUAUCUCGUCUGAGGGAUCCAUCUGAAACAGAGAAAUGAAAUUGAUUAACCCUUUUCUAUUGAAUCAAAAAUAAUCAAAACCGUGAAUCGAUUGAGACAAAAGUAGUCAAAACCGUGAAUCGAACCCAGUACAAGAUCUAAACCCACUUAUCGAAACCCCCAAAUUCUAUUUUGAACCCUAACUCGAAAAACCCUUUUCGAUUUCCAAUCCGCGAGAAUCGAACCUUAAAACUAUAAAUCGAACCCGUAGACGAGGUAAUACAGCAUUAAAUCAAAACCCUUCUCGAUUUCGAACCCUAAAUCGUAAAAAAAAAAAAUUGAAAUUUCCCCUAACUCGAUUUCGAAACCAAAACGACAUCAAUAUAAAGGAGAUUCCAGUCGAGACCCACCUCUGUUAGUAGAGGAGACAAUAACUCGUCGAAUCGAUGGAGCAAAUUCGAGAAAUAGGGACAGAGAUCGUCGUCGCACGGGGUUUCGCCGGGAGGAAGAAACCCUAGAGUUUUCGAGACAAAAGAGAGAAAUGAAUCUCUCUCCCCUUUCCACCGCGUGACGUCGACGCCGCGUCUCCAAUCAAUUCGCGACACGUGGUGUGAACCCGUAUCGGACGGGGUCACUCGUAAGGGGCGGGUCGCGAGAAAUAACCCAUUUAAUCUUUAUUUUUAAUGGUCCGGCCCUAUGAUACUGAGCCCAUGAACCUGUCUAAAACCUCUAAUGGGGCUGCUCUAAGAGUCGUGUUUACAAACUUAUUUAGUGUUACUUGCAAGUCAUGGCCAGCAUUCGCUCAUAUGUUUGUAAAAAGUAUCUUAAUCGACUAGCAUUAUGAUAAGAUUUGACCUGUAAAAACUAUAUUCAAUUAGAUAUACUAACGAUGCUGUUCCAAUGGAGCUGCGACAUAACAUAUAUAUUGUUACAAGAUUUAUUAUGUCAACUGUAACUUGACACCUCAUUACACGAACCAUUGUCCUUUUCUUUUGUGUCGUUGGACUUGGAUCUCUCGCUUUUCACAUGUUUUGGAAUAUUUGUUUCGUGCCUACCAAAGCGGUGUUUAUGAAGAUCUUUUAGUUUUUUUCCAGGAAAAAAAAAGCUAAAAACAAGAGAAAAUCCAAUAGCAAGAUCAACGAAUCUGAUCCUCAAGGCUUACAGUUACAUGAUGCACUAAUAAAGAGAUGAGAGAUAAAAGUGCAUUACAGCAACGCAAGGGUAUGGACCAACAAUAGUAUUUCAACUGACACUUAAUUUUUUCAUCUGUGCUUACGAUAACUUGUUAGAUAAGUGAUCUAACCGAGCCAUCCCUUACGGCUUUGCAUGCACUAGGCAAAGAAAUUAGAAUUUGCAAAAAAAAAACAAUCGUUUUCCAAAAACAUUACAAUAGAAAUAUGAACUAACGAAGCGUUAUAAACUUAUUUCUAAAGAUCUUUCAGUUUUAAUAACACACACAAAAAGGAGAAACGGAUAUAUAUAAUUUACACAUCGACAAAUAAAAAAUCUUUUAAAGCCAAUCCCUUACGGAUUAAGUAGAAGUACACAAAUGUUAAACGGACUCAGUGACCAGUUUCCAACUGUUGUUUGGUUCACCACCUGACACAACACUACUCUUUUCUAAGCUUCUUGUUGGAUCGCACGUCUGAGCCUUAGUCCAGUAUCCGCAUCUCCCUCACGUCCUAUCAAAACCCCACCAUCUCCUCCAGCAUCCUCACUGCUCUGGUUUAGGUUUUGGUUAGCCAAGGCAGCUUCCCCAAAGUUAUGGAGCCUCCGACCAAUGAGAUAACGGUCAUCACGGAUGGAGUUGUGAAGGUUUCUGAACCAGACGUGGCAUCUCUUUGCGCAGAAGCAAAAGAGGCUCACCGAGAGACAACCUAUCCAAGCGAAUCUGUAGACCGCCGAGUUCACAACUAGUGGAUAGCCGAGCAUCGGGAACACUCCUCUGGCCAGAACGUAGGGAACGCAUAAUGCCGUUAGAAGCUUCAUUACAAUCGGGAAUACAAUCUCUCUCAGUACCCACAACCCUUGAAGCCUCGAGAAUCCAUCUUCUCUUACUCUCUCAAACUUUGCUCUCCAGCUAUCAUCCAUUAUCGGAAGCAUAUGAUCCAACAUUACCUGUCCAUGGUCGUCCUUCUUUAAGUGACAAGAUAUAUAAUUAUUAUGCGGUAAAAAAAUAGCUAACGGAAAUAAAUACUUACCAGUCUAGUCCAGAUCUUCAAAAAGAUGAGGCCAAGAGCCCAGUCUUGAUACAGAAGGAAGACAGGGCUUUCAUCUACUGGGACUCUCAUUGGGACGAUAACCAAGAGCUCAAACAGAAGUCCGAUUAGUACCGGAAUGAUAAAAACCUGUUCAGUCACCAAUUUUAAAACACAAAAUCAGGAGUCAAAUGAGCUUGGAGCAUCUCAAAAUUCUGAAUAGAAAAUAACAGCACAAAACCACUUACCCAUAUGGCUAAUAGUACCGAGCUCUUGAAGACAAUCCCACACCAUUUCCAUAUUUGGUUAAGCAAGACUGAAGUCCUCCUCGACUUGACAUGCUCGAUAGCAUACCUUCCCCCAGAUAUGGCAGUCCAAAAGGCAUAUGUGCCAAUAACGAAAGCAUACAGAUCUAUAGAUUUAGGAGAAGAUUCUGUUAAAAUUGUGAUUCCUUUUAGAAGAAUGAAGAAGAAGAUCAAAUCUAAACACAAAUUUACCAUUGCAUUUGAUGCCAUGCGUUAUUGGGAGAACUGGGAUGGCACUAAACAGAGCACGUCCGAGUGAAACUGGUACAACUAUCAAUGCUGAAUUGAAGAGAAGAAGAGUAACCCAUGCAUAGAGUAGUAGAAGGAUUAUCCGGAUCACAAAGUUGUACCUGCUAAAAACAUGACGUUCAUUUCAGAAUCUUCUAUAUAUACCAAGCAUGUGAAAAUUCCAAACAUCAAGAAAAACUUUAAUGCCAUUCUAACGCAAGGAACUUACUCUGUAUCAGAUUGUUCUUCAUCAUCUUCAUAUUCCUCACCGGCGUUGACAUUACCAGCACGGAGGAGAUUUCUGUUAGGGUCAUCAGCUGCUGGAAGCGCAGCUAUGGCCCUGUCAGGUCCACCGACCUGUGCUCUGUUCUGCCUUCCUGGUUCACCAAUUCCAUUGUCCUGACCAACGUUGUCCUCUGGUCUUGGUAAGAGGAAGUCUGUCAAACCAAGGGCCCAACCGACGGCUGUGAACCAGCAGCGUAGAAGGGACUUGAUUGUGGUCCGAAGUCUGAAAUGCUCGAUGAUAAAUGGUAUGCAUAUUUGAAACAGAAGCAUGUCGGCCGGAAUCUCAGUGAAUGGGUCGGAUACACUGCAUAUAUCCAAAGUUAGAAAAGUUACUCAAACAUAAGAUCUCCAAAAACGAAGAUAAGCCAAUAUUACUUACGAUAUGUCGAGCGGGAAGAUUGAAGGAGCCAUCCGGAUAGCUAGCUUGACUGGUAAAAAUACCAGCAUGACAAUCAAACUACCGUAGACUGCAACAGAUAACAAAACCCUCCGAGCAUGCUUGUGUACUGGAUCAUCAAUCAAAUCUCGGAAUGGAUUAUAAUUAGGAUCUGCGGGAUCACGAAGGAAAUACAAGACUCCAGGGCGAAGAACCUGCAAUUUAUACAAGAGUAGAAAACAAUAUUAGAUAGCAGAAGAGAUAAACCUCUUUCCAGUUAAAAUUGUGACCAAGGAAAACACAGUACCCCUCGAAGAAGGCUAACGAAGAUGCUUAUUUGCAGCAUGUACAUGAUUCCAACAACCCAAUGAACAAGUGAGCUUGCCAGAGGAGAAAUUGAUAGAAACUGUACUCUGUGAGACAUUGUUUUACCAAACAUCCUAACCGUGCAAACAUCUAGCCACCACCCACACAUCAGCGGGAAGACUCCAAGCUCGAUGACCAAUAGAAAGGCAACUUUAAUCAUAGUCAUCAGAUGCCUCAUUGCUGCCAAGAAUUGUCUAAGGAGUGAUGGUACGGCUUCUACCAUAGAAGCGAUACCAUAGAAUCUCCCAACAGUCAGUGGCUCACCCUUGGCAUAACGAAUCAGUGCAAUGAUCCCGAGGUAAAGGAAAACCAGAAAGACUAUAAACAUGUACCCAACAGUCAGCGUUGUCACAUCAGAUAGCUUGGACGAUCCUGUAACAGAACCUUUUAAGAGAUCAGCAGCAACAGAUAGAGUACUGUUUACCCCGUUCAGUUCACUUCCGUUGACUUUCACCAUUUCUGAGAGCUGACCAACCAGUCCAUUUUCUUGGCCCUCGUUAGUCAAAUUUGAGACAGAAGUCAACGCACUCUUCAGAGUUGUAUUUUCCAAUGCUGAGUCAAUAAAAUGCAUUGAUGCGGUCAGGGCAGGGCCUCUAGCAGCAGCAAAAAGCCACGACAGAUGAUACAAUAUAACCCGUCCUAAUGUGAAGGGCACAAAGAUCACAACCCCAAGGAAUAUCAUAUUGCUUGCCAGAACCUGCAAAAAAAUGAAGAUUUUAAUGUGAGGACAAAAGAGAACGACAAGAGAAAACAAAAUAAAUCCACAGGAGGAGAAACAUUCAAACUUACAGUAAAGGCAUUCUCAACCAAAUGAAACACCGGACCCUGCAUUCCAACCAGCUCGUCAAACGGAACAUCUUCAGCACCAUCAGCGUCAUCCAAACCAUCAAACAUUUGUUCAACCUGAGCCUCGAGACGAGCCGCUUGUAUAUCCAACCUCGCCAGAACAUUUUCAGGAUUCCUUCUAUUGACCUGACCAACACCCGCACCCUGAUCUCCAGCAUCUUCAACAUUCCCCUCUCCAGCAAGGUUCCUAUUACCCUGCCCAGCAGGUCUCCUCGCAGCACGAACACCGUUCCUCUCCCCUUCAUCUUCUCUCUCAUCCUGUCCUCCCAACUCCCGCAAAUGCCUAAAGUAAUCCCUCAACGAAGUCGCCCCGAGGAAAAUGAAGACAAUGCUAGCCGAGAGCAAGAACCCGUGCAAACAGUCGGUGAGAAUCACUGUGGUAGAGAUGUGGCUUAAGAACAGCCUCUGAGCUUCCCCAAAGCUCCUCACAAAAGCCAACCGCCAAAUCCAAAACGUAAUAAAGGGAAUGGUGAGAAGCCACACAGAAAGCACGAAACUCAACCGGAGAAAGAACUGCAACACGUGGCAAGCUUUCAUCGCGAUCCCAACUACAAACUCCUGGAAAGGGAGCCUCGUUGGAGCAUUCUCAGCAUACACUGGUGAGAACGAAAACGGAUGCUUACAAACCUACAAAGAUUAAAAUCAACAACAAGAUUCAAUCAUAUCAAUCAUGAACUUCAAUAAUAAGGAAGCCUUCUGUUAUAUGUAAACAACUAACUUCAAGAUUUAAUCAAUUAUAUUAAUUUCAAUCAAGAACCAUAAGCACCAAUCAAGAACCCUAAAUAAUCAAUUUAUAAACCAAACGGAGACCUCGCAUUGACGAGCGUUGCUAUGAUUAAGCCACUGAAGGAGACAAUCCUGAUGCACGAACUUGAUGCUCCCGCUGCAAGCGCACGGGUACCGAAGCGGAUUAUCCGCUUCCCCCGGGUUUCUGCAGAUCCUGCAAACGUCCUCCUCGUCUUCGUCAUCAUCAACGUAUCUGGAAGCUGUGGCCGUCGCAGACGCGGGAUCCACGGCGGAGAAGGCGGUGGGAGAGGCCUGGCUCGAAGCGGAGAGGGAGGAGGACGAGGGAGAAGAUACCGACGAUUCCGAUGCGACCUCGGAAGAAGCGGCCGCGCCAGAGAUGGAUAGCGAUUCGGAUUCAGCAGAGGAAAUCUCCAUGGAGAAAUCCGAGCUUGGGUUGACGAAGGGCUCUCAGGUGGUUGUGAUGCCGGCGGGUGAUUUGGGGGAAACGAGUCGACUCGGUGAGUCUUAUGGGAAACGACGAAGGCCACCGAGGGAGAUUGAUUGGUUUUAUAUGGAUGGACUAGACCGGGACCUGUAAACCGGUGAUUUGACGGAAUUGCCCUUCCCUCUUGUUUAAUUAUCAACGGUUUUUGUCGGUUACGCGUCUUUGGCAUUUGGGCUUGUGGGCUGAAGAAAUAACAAAAAGCCCAUAGUAGUUGAGGCCCAAACCUGAUCAGCUUGAGUAUACGGUGGAGAGAUUCGACAGAGAGACAAGGAGGAGACAUGGGUUCGCUGUUCACUCCUCUCUAUGCUCUCCCCUCGCGCCAUUUCAGCUAGUGUCUCGUGUUGCUCUUCUGGUAAGCUCGUUUGACUUUAUAAGUAUCUAACUUUGAUGUCAUUGUAGAGAUGCUGAAACGGUCGAUUGUUUGUUCUUGAGCUUGAGCUUUGUGUUUUCAAAUGAAGGGACUUUUUAUUGUUGUGUAACCAGGUUUUAUUUCCAUGUGAUAUUUGAAAGAUCAUGGUAUGUAUCUCUAUACUCUAUUGCUAAAUGGUAUGAAGAUGAACAUAUCUAACGUCAUUUUGAACAAAAUAUAUGAGAUGAAAAGAAAAACUUGUUUACUACUAAAAAAGAGUUUUUUCAAUGUCUUUGAUAACUAAAGAAAAUACUAAUAAUAAAAGAAACAAAUUGAUCAGUCUCUCAUGUGCUUUUCUCCUCUCUCGUCGGGUGGGGUGUGAAGUCUGCGGACGAGUCCUUCUGGAGUUCGUUGCUUUCUAUCAAAUCCUCUCAUGCAUACAAAUCCUGCACAUCACACCAUCAUAUUGUUAUUCAUAUAUUUCAACUUAAUAAUUAAAUAAAACUCAAAACUAGACAACGUUUGUUACCAGUCCAAAAACAUAGUCGAGUUCUUGUUUCCUCUAACAACCGAAAAAUGGAUGACACUGAUGAACCACAAUAUAGCGCACGCUUCUCCAACCCAUUACAUAACUCUCUAGAAAACACAAUAGGUUCUAAACUCGUCUCAUGAUCUGCAAAAACCUGGAAAAAAACACUUUUCAGUUCAGUGAAAACCAAUACAAUGCAGAAAAAAUAAACUUACCUCAUUGGUUUGAAAGUAUGUGCCAUUAAGUGGGAAACCUCCUUGCAUUGCUGUUCUACAAGGGAUCUGUUCAAUUUGCAUUGAUCCAUGUAAGUUCAAGUCAAUAGAGUUAUUAGAAAUUUAGAAUGAUAAGUCUUUUAAUUCAGUUUUUACCAGAAUUGUUCCACGGUAAGUGUUUGAACUUUCUUCUCGUAAAUUCCAACAAUAAGAACAAGUCUUAAUCACGCAGAGGUUUGUUCCAUCUGAGUCACAUUUCUUCUUUGGUGGCAUGAACGAGUUUGACGUUUCACCUAGAAAAAAAAAAUCGGAUAAAAAGCUUAGUUUAUGCUUUAUGUGAAUGAUGAUAAAGUUUUGUGUGUUCGUACCUGGUUGCCAAAGAGCAAGAAGAUAUGGACUAGGAUCAUCACGUUCUCUUCUCUCAAACUAUAACAUAAAAUAGAAUAAAAAUUCAAAUAUAAUGCAAAUUUUUAGUAUUAUAUUGUAUGUAUUUAUACUUACAUCAUUGAGAAGCUCAUGUUUAUCAGGAAGCACAUAUCUGCAAAACAGACAAUUAGAUUACAUAAACUCCCAUAAUAUGAUAAUCUUGCAAACGUAUAUAAAAAAAAUACUUACACCACAUGUUCAGUUCUUAAUCUGUCAUAGUACUUUGUUUUACGAGGCAACUUCAUUGGAAUGCAUGCAUUCUCCUGGGUCAUGACUGCUAAUGCUUUUGAAAUCUCGUCAUUAGAACCGUUGAACAUCGUUCCAAUUUUCUUAAAUGCAUCCACCACGUUUUGUUUAAAUGCAUCAAUGUCGAUAUCGAUUCCAGGUAUUGCAGCAUUAGACCGACAAGAACUUCUGCAAGGAGUAUCCUCAAUGUCUGGCAACUCGGGAAUUUCUCUAGCUGGAGAAGUGGGAAACUCAACUAUUGGCUCACAACAGUUAGUUUGAUUACUGCAUUCAGUGGAAACGCAUUCUUCAAUCGAGUUUAUCUUUGAUGUCAUCUUUGCAUCAUUAUCAUGACAAUAUGAAGUUUGUGACUCUUGGGACUCUUGGAACUCUUGGGACUCUUGGAACUCUUGGGACUCUUGUGUCUUCUGUUCAGGACCCUCGAGAAGAACUUUGGAACUGAAAGAGAAAAAAUAAACGUAAGUCAACUUCUGUUAAAAUAAUUUGUCUUUGGUUAUAUGGCUGCCUUUUGAGAACUAGAUACGGUUUAAAGAGAGCUUUGUUUUGUUUGCAAAAUUCUGUGUAAUUAUGUAACUAACAAAUGAGACUUUUCAAGUUUGUUAUUGUCAAGAAAAUUAAAUAAAGUAACAUAUUUCUUAUUUUUGUGUACAUAGGCAAUGGUAAAGAGACGUGCAAUGACCAACAUCAUCAACUGAUACUCGUAUUAUCCUAAUGUAUAGAAGAAAGAGGGUAACCUGACGUAUGCACUUGCAAAAUAUUUGCAUUCUGAUUUCAUCGGGCAUGCAUUACAGUUAGGAAUAACCUUCGUACAGAAAACCUGUGGUUUACAAGAUUUAGUCCAGAUGAGUACUGAUAUGUAUUUAACUGAAAAAUAUCAUAAUGAAAAGGUUUGUUUGUUAGGUGCACCUUUCCAAAUGUUAUCAUCUGAUAAUGUAACUCGUACCUAUAAGAAUAAAAGGACUAAGAUAAUCAGUACAUGUGUCUAUAUGAUAUCAUAAAUGAUUAGUUUGUUAUAAAUAAAUUUAAACUUUAGUUUGUUAUAAAUAAAUUUAAACUUACAGUGUUUCUUGAGGUAGUUUACAUAGUCGUGGCCAAAGAUAUUUUUGAAUUGAAUCCAUUGAAGGAUACCUAAUUGAAAAAAAAGAGUAAAGUGUUAGUUGCUUAUAUAAAUCUAAAAUUUAAAUAAAAAAAAUACUUAACUGAAAUAAUUGAUGCAACUGAACACCCUCUGGCAAAGGUUCAAGAGGAACCCAACCAAGCCGAACUGCUAUACGUCCAACAUUUGUAUCAACCUAUACACAUCCAAGAGAUAAUGAUCGUUAAAAGAUAACAAGUAGAUUAUAGAUAUGAAUUUUUAAUAAUUUUAUUUCGUACCGGAAAAGCUGAAUGUUUAAGUCCUAAAAGUCGCACGCAUUCGGCACUCUUUAGCCCUAUUCCUUCUAUCUCCAAUAGAUAUCUCCUGAUAAUACAAAAGUUUUAGUGACUUUUUCCAACAUAAAGCUUAAAUAACAUAAAAGAAAUCAACACAAACAUACUUCACUAAGUCAGAAGGAGCAUCUCGAAGCCAUUCAAGAUCCACGGUUCCAUUUUGUUUUGCUUCGUCGUUGAGAAAUUUCUUUAGAAAGUAAAAAAAUAAAGACAUAUUAGUGUCUCUAAAAUAAUAUAUCACCAAGACUUUAAACAAAAAUAGUUUCUUACCAAGAUUUUUCUUGCAAGACCAUUAUGCUGUCCUCGUUUCAUGAUGGUGUCAGCAAGAACUUGUUGAUCAGAUAAUCUUACAGCAUUCCAAUCAACAGUGUCCAUAUGUAUUGUAUCCCUAAAUCCUUCUUUUGUGUAGAUUUUUCUCAAACUCUCCCAAUCAACACUCUCAUCUUCCAUGAUACCUGUUUUUUUGUUUUUUCUUUUUGCAUCUUUCUCAUGUUGCUCUAAAUUUUCUUGUAAGGAGAAAGAUCCAAUUGAGCUUUUAGCAUCAUCCUUCUCAUUCUGAAUUGGUAUUUGACCAUUAGCAACCAAGUUAUUAACCUCUUGAGGUUCCUCGAUGAAAUAUGCUAAGCUUUCCAAACUUUCUUUUGCAUCCACCGGAAAUUUUGCAGCAACACUCAUGAAAGCAUUGCUGUAGAAAAUAGUUGUUAGAGCAAAACAUAUUUCAUAUCAAAGUUUUGUAAAUUAAUUCAGAUUUUACCUUGAGAGGUAGUCGGAAACAUUUUGUGUCAAAAAUACUCCAACCACUGAAUCAACAACCGAACCUUUCCAUUGUUUAAAUUUCCUAUUGCCUACAAAAUAGAACCACUAACAUAGUUAAAUGCACAAAUUUUUUGCUAACAAAAUAUCUUACAAAUAAUAACAAUGUACCUUGUAGAAGAUGCAUCCGAUUGAUGAAAAGUUCUAUCCGGCUUUGAAAGAUCUCUCGUUCUCCUUUCCACUUGGACUCUGUAUUUUCCUCAUUGGAAUAUGAUUGAUGUGGAAAAUCGUUUUCCAUUAAUAACUCCCACUCUUUAAUGGUUUCGGGAUCAAGAUUCACUUUUGCAAUAACCAGUUUUUUCUUUGCCUUGCCCAAAGUUGUUACUCUUCGAUUGAUAUUCAAUUUCUCCAUCUCCUUGAUUAACUUGGCAACACCUUUAGUAGUUUUUUUCAUAGACUGUUCAGGCGUUAUGUUAGUAACAGAUCUCAUAAGUAUAUCUGCCAAAACAAAAAAAAAACAAUUAAUAAUGUGUAACCAAAUCAACCACCUACCACUAUAUGUUAGAUAUGAAUUGCAAAAUGAAUAAAAUAUAGUUUGUGUUCUAUAAAGAAAUGUGAAAUGUAAAUAUAAAUAUAAAGCAUGAUAUAAAAUUGAUUAAUUCUAAUAUACAUUCUAAUUUACAUAAAUUUAUAUAGAAAAUAUGCAAUGUGGAUGCAUUACAGUUCAUGAGAUUCAUAAUCGAUAAGCAUAUGGAAAAUACGUAGAAUAUGAAAAAUGAACAUAAUACAGAAAAAAAUAUACAAUCGAAAACAUAGUUUAUUUUACGUUAACAUGUUGAACCCUAUUAUUAUUAUUAUUAUUAUUAUUAUUUUUUAUCCUAGAUACAGUUAUUCUUUAAAUGUUCAAUUGUUUUAUACCUAUACAUGUUACUACUGUAUGAUAGUUGUAGAGGUGAAUCUAAUGAUGGUGUUCACAGUUAACUAAUUCUUCUAAUGUGUAGUAAAUGUAUAAAAAAAUCAAAGUUUAAAUCAAAAGUGAUAGCUACUUGCAAGAUUUUUAUGAUUUUUUCUCCUAUAAUUUGAAAUAUAAAACUGGUUUCCGUGUAAUGAAACAUCAAAAUUAUUUUUCUUAUAAAUCAAAAAAAAAAAAUAUGGUUACCUUCUUUGUGUAAUGGAACAUCGGCUAGUGAUGGAAGAUUGUGUUCCCUUUGAUAAUUUAGUUGUAGAGUUAGAUUAUUCAUAACUUUCUUUUCUUCAGUGUGUAAAUCUGUAAAAUUGAUUAUGUUAUGAGUAUACACGUAAAAACAAUAUAUACAUAAUAAAUAUAACUAGAUAUAGUGGAGAAAAUAUCAGAUUUUAUGAAUAUAUAAUAAAUUGUAUAAACACUAAUUACCUUUAGUCUGAACUGAAGCAUCUUGACGUCUAAUUUUCUUAGCCUUUUUCAAGUGUUCAUUGGAGCCUACACAAUAACAAAAAAUCAUAUAAACUGAUAUUGCAAAAUUAUUAUCAUCUAUUCUUAUCUAAUAAUUUAAAUAAACACUUUAAAACAUUAUCAAAAAUAAAAGUUUUACCAUCUGUUAUUUUCUGGUUAGAAUGCAUCAAACUCAGAUUUGGUACCAUCUUUUUUAUAUCUGUCAGAAAUGUAUAGAUAGUCAAAUUUAAUACAACAUCAAAAAUAAUGGGUAUAUAAUAAAAAUAUACUUCAACAAAGAAUAAAGAAAAAUAGUUGAUUACCUAUAUCGUCUGGAUGAAUUUCUACCAGUGACAAAGUUUCUUCUAUGCAUUCAUAAGAUAAAGCAAUCAUAGUCCACCUGGUCAGAUUUUUCUUUCGACUAGACCUUUUUGAUUGCUUUUUCCAAAUGGGCAUAGGAAACGAGAUUGGUGAUAUCAACACAUGAAAAUCAAUCCUGCGAAGUGUGGUCAUCCUCCUUUUGCCUUUUGGAAAACUAGGCAAACAACUUCUACUAAACUCAAGACAACCAGAAAUAACUUCUUCAUCAAAUGGCAACGUUCGAGCAACACUCUUUUUUGCCUUGUUUUUUCUUCUCUUUGGAGAACUCUGCUUUUCUGGAGUUUGAAGCUCAACUACAUAGUCAUCUUCAUCGCAUUUCUCCUUUUUACUCCUUUUAUUAGAUAUAGUUCUCAUUUGAAGCUUGGUAGGAUUCCUUGGUUUCUUGCCAUCUUCCAUAAUCAUUGGCCUAUGGAAUCUCUUUUUGGAUAUCUUUUCAGAAUAGUUCUUCUUUCUUUCUCCAUUAACAUGUUGUGAAUCAUCUUUCACCAAAUAAAACAAUCACAAACAAGAUCAAUACAUGACAAUUCCUAGCAACCUAAAAAAUUUCUAAUAUAUAGUGUUAGUGAAAACUAUAUUUGUUUGAUAUUGAGAUGUUUGUGCUAACUAUAUUUUUCUUAGUAGAUGUAAGAUUUUUUUUACCUUCAAGAAUUGUUGACUUAGCAUUUUUCUCUUCAGUUUCUUCUUUAGAGUUUUUCUUCCCUUGUGUGCCAUGAAGACUUUGUAGAUCGACUUGUACCAACAAAUUAAAUAAAAGCGUAGUAAGUAAUUGAUCUAUACUAUAGAUAACACCAGCUUGAAUUAAAUAUUUUGGAUUGGUUUUUAAUUACCUUUAAAAGUUUCUGGUUCUUCACUCUUUUUCACAGACUCCUCUUUAGUUGUAUUGUUUGUGUUGAAAUCUGAAGAACCAGAACUUGCAGAGUCAUCCAUGUUUUGUAACUUAUUGAGCAGCUUAGGAGGCUUUCGUCGAACAUAGAAUUUCAGUGGCUGUUGAGGCUUAACCGGUGUUCCUUGAACAACCAAACCGGAAAAUUUGUCUAGAUCUUUUGACUUCUCCAUUGUUGUCUCCUGUGACAUAUACAUUGAUUAGAAAACCUUUUAUAGAACUCAACUCAAUUUAAUUGAACUAAUCCUCGGUGAGAUACAAAGACUUCUUACAAAGAUAAUUUGACCCAAAAAUAAGAUUUUCAGUUUCAGAGGAACGAUCGUUUAUGGAGAACUAGAGGCGGAAUUAAACUUACAGAAUAUAAUUGCUGAAUACUCUGACGCAAGAGAGAGACAGAAGGACUUCGAGAAGAAUAGUAUAUCUGAAGCACACACGAUUACCUCAACUUCCUUCAGAGAAAACCUUCGGGGAAAAAGUAAAUAUAUGAAAAAUAAGAAAACACGAUCUCUUAUUUUCCUGUAGGUUAUUUUCCUUUUUCAAAUUUGAGGGUUGUUUUUCCAUAUUUUGAUGACAAGAUGUUUAGAUAAUUAUGCUAAAUAUUUCCAAAAAAAAAACAGAAUAUUCAAAAUUAUAAUGGAUUUUUAUCAGUUUGAAAAAAAAAUUAAUAUAUGAAGAGAUUUUCCUAUAUUCUCGUGGUUUAUCUAUUUUUCAAGAAAAUCUAUCAAUAUAAUUAUAUAUACUAAUAUUUUGCAUUUUUGAAAUGUAACGCUUAGUUUAUUUCGAAAAUAUACUAAACGAAAAAAAAAUUCAGCAGCUACUUUUUGUUCACUGGGUUUGGUUAGUAUUAGGGGCCUCCAGGUUAUUUUAUUUGUAGGUUCCUCUAGUAGAGAAUAUUAUGGACUUUUGUCUAUUAGUUAUGCAUAAGUUCAUGUCUUUUUAGAAAACUUAAUGAUUGAUAUUUUAUUUUAGAUGUUGUAUAUUAUAUAGUGAAAACCAAACAAAACAAAGAGGUUGAAAACAUUAUUACUUUGUUCACAUAGAAAGCAAAAACAAAGGACAAUGGUCAAUGGAGAGUAACGAAAGACAUAAGGGUGGUUGGUGAAAAUGCACACUCAGCAUUGUGAUAUCAAUCAACUGAUUCGACAGACAUAUAGUGAUUCCAUCACCAACAGGGAGCAUACAGAUCUCGAUCCUAGGGUCAACAGCAAGGGCUGGUGUAGCUCACAAGAUCGACUUCAGGGAAGGUCCCUGCUCUUCCUCUUCUUGAUGAACUCGGGCCAAAGACCGUUUAAGGUUGAGCUAAUCAUGUCAAUAAUCAUAUUUGUACUCAUUUAGUUUAUACAUUUAACUCAAAUAAUGCAGGUAUUUUUGGGUGGCCAAUUGUCAAAAAUCAAAAAAGUAAUAUAAAGUAAGGAACACGCCCGGUGGGACUCGAACCCACAAUCGUCUGAUUAGAAGUCAGACGCCUUAUCCAUUGGGCCACGGGCGCCUUGGUGCUAUCACAAACCAAAUAAGAUACUUUUUCUAAAGUUCCGAUGGUAAACGAACUGUCAACACGGCUGUGACACGACCGCGUUUCAUUCGUCUUCUUCGCUUUACUUCGAGAAGUGUAGAGUUAAUAGAUAAGACGCUCUCUCUCUCUCUCUCUCUCUCUCUCUCUCUCUCCCCGUGCAGCUGCAGUUAGCAACCGUCACUGUGGUCUUUGAGAUUUUCUCUUUCGAUGAUAGCUUCGCUGAGUCCAACUCUAACAGAGCCGAUGCUCAUCUCUUCGAUGUGCUCUAUCUCAGCGACCGUUGCUCCUCCGAGUUUGUAUUCAAUCUCUCUGAUUCAUUCACCACUGAAACAAAGGAAAGCCCGAAACUUUAUACUCAGAGCUACUCCGCCGUCACUAAGUAUGGAAACAACGAAAGACAUUAUCGACGUUAGCCUCGUGCCAAUUCCCAAAAAGGUCUCUCCUUUACACCUUCUCAGAAUCUAAAGCUCCCACCUUUAUUUACCUAGAGAGAGAGAAAAUUGAUAAACCAUGUUUAUAUAGGUGCUCGUGCCGAUUGGAUACGGUACGGAGGAGAUAGAAGCUGUAGUCUUAGUCGACGUUCUACGGCGAGCUGGUGCUGACGUCACUCUUGCCUCCGUGGAGCAGAAGCUAGAAGUUGAAGGCUCAUCAGGGACCAAGCUGCUUGCUGAUGUCUUAAUCUCGAAAUGUUCUGAACAAGUUUUUGAUCUUGUGGCUUUGCCUGUAAGUUAAUUAGACAUUAUAGAUCAUCUCCUUAUGUUCUGCUUUUGUCUGAUCUAUUAUCAAAUUGUGGAAAGGGAGGCAUGCCUGGUGCUGUUAGGUUGAGAGACUGUGGAGCUUUGGAGAAGAUCAUGAAGAGACAAGCUGAAGAGAAGCGGUUGUACGGAGCUAUCUCCAUGGCUCCGGCUAUUACUCUUCUUCCUUGGGGGCUUUUGACAAGAAAGAAGGUAUAAAGUUUAUUAUCAGAUGGUUACUAAUCAUUUUGAUUUCAUUUUCUAAACUUGGUGUUAGUUCAUUGUGCAAGACAACAGGACAUCCUGCUUUUUUCGGGAAGCUGCCUACGUUUUGGGCUGUUAAGACAAACAUUCAGAUCUCAGGAGAGCUUACAACUAGCCGUGGACCAGGCACUUCUUUUCAGUUUGUUCUUUCCCUGGCUAACCAGCUCUUUGGAGAGACCACAGCCAAAUCGGUUGGAGAGCUUCUGGUAUUUAUCUUUAUUCACUUGUUUUGGAUUAUUCUUUUUUGAUAUGUAACAAUCUUCUUUUCCAAUCAUGUUUUAGCUUCUACGCGAUGGUUUCCAGAAUCCUGAGAUUAAAGAGGUGAAUAGCAUUGACUGGUCUCUAAACCACACACCUCGUGUAAGUCAGCAUGAAGCUAUAACCUAUGCACUUCCAUGUAAUCUCAUGAGAUGAUGAUAUGAUGAUAUGAUGAUAACUCAUUUUUUGUUUUCUUCUUAAGUAUCUUCUUUUGUGAAAAUGGUUUUAAAUGAUGUUAACUAAAAUUCAGGUUCUUAUGCCGGUAGCCAAUGGAUCUGAAGAGGUUGAAGUGGUUACAAUUUCAGAUGUUCUUAGAAGAGCCAAAGUAGAUGUCACGGUUGCAUCGGUUGAAAGAUCUUUGCGGAUUACUGCAUCCCAAGGCACUAAAAUUGUUACUGACAAAUUGAUUGGUGAAGCUGCUGAAUCAGCAUAUGAUCUAAUCCUUCUUCCUGUAAGAGAUCAAGAUCAUUAGAGCUAUCUACUGAUGUUUUAUUACAUGGUGAGUUAACUUUUGAUGUCUUUCUAUUGAUGGGAUUAUCUAGGGAGGCCGUGCUGGCUCAGAACGUCUACAGAAGUCCAAAGUUCUCAAGAAGCUACUCAAAGAACAACAAGAAGCUGAGCGAAUCUAUGGAGCUACUAACUCUUCAUCUACUGUCCUGCAUAAGCAUGGUUUACUCAAGGUGAAUUUAAGAUUUUUUUUGUUCUAGAUAUGAGCAAACACUGUACACCAUUUGGAUUAUGUUGCAGGAGAAGAGAACAGCUGUGUACGUUUCAGACACAGAUGGGCCUGCAAGUGACCAAAUGAUCGAAGGAGCUGAAGUUGUUAUAGAUGGAAACGUGAUUACAAGUUUGGGGCUGGCAACUGUUACUAAUUUCUCUCUAGCUAUUGUUAGCAAGCUGUUUGGACAUGGUAGAGCAAGAAGUGUUUCAGAAGGGCUUGUCCAUGAGUAUAGAGGGAAUUUGAAGGCAUCUUGAUCAAGAUACACAGUUAGAAGAUGUCUCCACUGCUUCUACAAGAAAAUUUUGUCAUUUAAGUUAGUUUUGUAAAACAUUUUGUAUUAGCAGUUUGAGAUUACAACAUGAUUGAUUAUUAACUUGAUGUUUCCAUCAAUCUAUUCACUCUGUCUCACGGUCCCAAAAUUAUUAGUAGGAAAAAAGAGGUCCACAGAGGUAAUAUAUGCUACAAGACAAAUCCACUAUGAUUAAGUCACAAAGAUGUUCAAGACAUUGACACGUCCUAUAAAGCAACAUCAAGAUCAAUUACAUCAGGAACAUAAAACCAAAAGACGCUUCAAGAAAACAGAAGAAGAAAAAAGAGUGUUGAUCUUGUCAAAUAAGGCCACACUUCAUUUACCUACAAUCACCCCCACAGAAAACACCUGCCUAAGUUACAUACAAAGCUAGCUUCUACUUUCUGUGUUGUUCUAUAAUAACUUCUGCUCUUUGUUGAGCUCCUUGGAGGGCUUCAUAAACAAGCUCUCUACCAAGGACCUGUCAGUGUCCUUCUCAAGCAUUGCCUUUUGCAUCCCCAUGGCUGACGCAUCGGCUCCAGAAGCUGCAACAACAAAUGAGCUAAUCUCUGUUAAAUAUCAAAACUUGUGGGACUAGUCUUAAUGUGAAUAUGUGAUGUUAUACUUCACUUCAUUGUGUUGCUUACAGACUAUAUAAGUCACAGUAUUCAACUAAAAGCUUAGACUAUUGUGUAAUAGCAAUUCACUUUUCUGGCCAGAGUUAAAAGCUUAGCCAACUCAAGCAUACAAGAGACAGUACCUGUUUUUUCUGCUUUUCUAUGAUCUCAACCUACACGAAACAUUUGGUCAAAUAAUUGGUCAGAACCUCAAGAAAAUAUAUUCCAAAUGAAAAAAAAAAAUAUAGACAAUGGGAAGAAGCAGAGACACACUUGUUUCCUCUGCAACUCUUCAUUCUGCUCUUUCAGCUGUGCAACUUCUGCCUCCAACUCCAACGUAUAAGCCUGUCAGACAGCAAAAUGAAAAAAGUAAAAAAACCUAUACCAGACAGUGGUUUAAAGGUUUCUUCAGUCUCCAAAAUUUAAGUGGACACUCACUUGCUUGCGGGCGCGGGAUCUUGCAGCUGAUUCCCUAUUCUUAAUCAUCCUUUUCUGCCUCCUCUCAAUCACUUUCUCCAGGACUGCGCCUGUUUUUCUCACUCGACCAAACAUGUAAGGAACUGGUGACAAAGAUGCAUCCAUGUUGCUCUUUGGAGUCAACUCAGGUGACAUCUGGCUUCCAGGAGAUACUGCUGCAACCGUAACUCCUGUUUUAAAAUCAACAGCCUGAAGAAGGUUGUUAUUGUUCAUAGGCCUGUCCCUAACUCCAAGAACUGAAGGCUUCACUUCCUAAAGGCAAAAAAACAAACCAUGGUCAAAUAAACUAAAACAUAACUACAAAUACAAAACUAUUAGUCAGGAAAUAUAGACGAUUUAAUAAAGAUUUCAAUAGUUUGGAAGACUGAAAUAAUUUUUUUUAAAAUUUGGGGGAUUAUCUAUAUACAAUUUUUUCAAAAAUUUUGGAGACAUGAUACGAAUGUUUCAUUAGGCUUAGCCUAUGACCGGCUCUGAGCUUAUUCCUCAAACAUGAAAACUACAUGAUCUAAUAACAACAUAGUCAGGUUCUUAGUCGUCACACCUGUGUUGGAGGUUGAGAACGGUUGACCAAAUCAACAGUGUUGGAAAACGCUAUAGUAGACUGUUUAGGAAAAGCUACAUCCUGCUGCUUCUGUAUCAGUUGCUGCGGCUGAUGCACCUUCUGUGGCUGCUGCUGCUGCAUCUGCAACGGCUGAGUUUGAGUUGUCAGCAGAUCCGGUCUCACCAGGUUAGGACCAAACCCAUUACGAGCUGAACCCAAACCUGCAUCACCUCCAAAUCCAAAGAACCCACCGUUGAAGCUAUCCACUCUCUCCACCUGUUGAGGCUCUUCCCUAACCACACCAGCUCUCACCAAGAACUCCUCCAGAGUCAUCUCCCCCAACGUCUGUUGCCUCUGCGGAACUCCACUCGCUCCUCCACCACCACUUCCAGCGUCAUCGUCCUUCAUCAGCUCUUUCCAGACAUCAUCAACUCUUUUCUGACUAAUGGUACGAGGUAAAGUAAUUGACCCUUGUCUCUGCAAACCCCCACCAACACCAAUCUCUCCUCCCACACCAACAGACAAACCUCCAUUAAAAGUGUUGUUGAAACUGGUGUUGUUGGCCAUUAUAGAGUGGCUUUCCUCAGCUGUCCAAAUGUUCUUCAAGAGCUCGUCCAUGUUCAUGGACCCAAAGUCCUUCCCAACCCCACCACCCCAUGAGUUCUGAAACUCAUCAAAGGUUAACGAGAAAACAGAGUUCUGUCUCGUCAGAGGAACACCAGCUCCUAAAGCUGGUUGCUUUGCGUCGUCAACGAAGUUAAAUCGAGAACCCAUCUCUUAAAAAUUCAAUCUUUGGAUCCUUCAAGUAAAACAAACAAAUAAAAAUCAGAUCUUUUAAUCAAAUUCGAAACAGAGCAAAGAGUGAAAACAGAGGAUCUGAAACAAUUCUACAAAACAACCAAUCAUAAGCUUAUAUUGGGCGGGAAAAUUCAUGAUUCUGAUCCAAUCAACGAAUCUGAAACAAGAAACCAAUCAGUGAAAGUUUUUAUUUUCCUUACCUUCGGAUUUUUAUUUUUUAUUUCGAUAUUUCCUUUUCGAGAAAGAAAAAAAGAUCUGAGGAAUAUAGAGAGGGAGGGAGCGACAUGUGUCCAUGGCGUGACACUCGUCGUGAUAUAAAGGGCAGUUUCGACUGUUUGGACGCGGGGAUUAUUUUAUUCUCGAUAAGGUAUUAAAAACACUUUGACGUCAGAUCGUGCGUGAGCGAAAGAGAUUGGACAACGUGGUCCAAUGAGAAACGCUGCUUUUUUCUAUAAAUAUCGUUAUCAUACGCUUACGAUUCCAACGAAUAGUGGUUCGCAAAGUGGAAGGACGCUGGCCGUUAGAUUUUCUAAUCGACAUCGUCGGUAAAGAGAUGAAUAUUGUUUUUUUUUCUUUUAAUAUUUUAAAAUUUGUAAUUUGCCGGAUGAUUUAUUUGGUAGACGGACAUUAUGCAAAAGCAGGUCUUUUCACAAUGUUAAUAAAUGGGUAGACUUACAGUUAAACUAUUGGGAAAUUGGGGUGGAUAGCUACAAAACAAAAUAUAAUUAAAUAUCUAGCCAAAAAAAAAAGUACCUUCAUUAUUUAUGUAAUAUAUACUAUAAUACCCUUAGCAACUGGUUAAUAAAAGAUAAAAAAAAUAUUUUCUUCUUCUUCGAUUAACUACUACCAUCAAUAUGCUUUCAUCUCUACCACCUUGUCUUCCGACGCCGUUAUAAUACCAUCAUCACUAAUUCUCCACUUUAUUUUGUGUUUAUCGUCUCUUUAAAGAUUAUUUUUUUUUUCUAUAAUCAGUAUCCCUUUUUUAUAAUUAUUUUCACCUCACUCAUAUUCACAUUCAUCACUGAACCACCAUCACCAUAGCCAUGAAAUCUACAGUUUACGACGGCGUUACGGUCGAGGUGCCCUCAUUUGUAUCCUAAGUUUUUGGUUGUACUAUGCUAUUUGGACAAUAUGUACUAUGUCAUUUCGUUUGUUACUAUUUUAUUUAAUAUGCUUCAUAUUAUGUAGUACAUGCAUGUUUUGAUAUCUCGGUUAAGGUUUAUAUUUUCUUUUGGGUUUUGGUGAUUAGUGUUUUGGGUUUAGUUUAUGUAAGGUUUAGAUUGACGUUGGGGUAAGCAUUACCUCAUUCCUGCAAUCAUAAACAUUUCAAAAUUUGAAAAAUAUGUACUAUGCUAUUUCGUUUGUUACUAUUCUAUCUGAUAAUGCUUUAUAUUAUGUACUAUGUACAUAUUUUGAUAUUUUGGUUAGGGUUUAUAUUUCCUUUUAGGGUUUAGUGAUUAGUGUUUUGGGUUUAGUUUAUGAAAGGUUUGGGUUGACGUUAAUAUGUACUAUGCUAUUUCGUUUUUCACUACUCUAUUUUAAUAAUGCUUCAUAUUAUGUACUGUGUGUAUAUUUUGAUAUUAGGAUUAGGGUUUAUAUUUUAUUUUAUAGUUUAGUGAUUAAUGUUUUGGAUUUAGUUUAUAGAAGAUUUGGAUUGACAUGGAAUAAGCACUACUUCCACUAUUAUUAAUUUCAUUAAUAUGAACUAUACCAUAUGCAGAAUGUUCUAUUCUAUUUCUUCUGUUUAUCUUCUUCCGUAAACAUUAGAUCUUUCUUUGAUCAUUGCAGUCAUAUUAAUUUUUGUAUGAAAGAUGACUGUUUCUUUUGGAUUGACAACUUGUGUUUCAUCCUUAACCACUCUUGUUGUAGUAUAUUGUCCUAAUUCUUUUUUAGAAAGAAAAAAAAAUUCAUCAUCUUCGUAGUCACCACUACCGCCGGUGUGAUAACCAAUAUCACCGUUCUGAUAACCACUAACGCCGCGACCAGCAAUAAUCACCACAAAUAUUGAUCACAAUUUUUUUUCUUUGACUGGCAACUGGUUCAAAAGAAGGAGAAAACCGGAAAAAUAUUGCACAAAUGCUAUGAGAUCUAAUAACGUCAAAAUCAAUGCCAUAUUCUUAAUUUGUUAGUGAAAUAUGGCUAGUUCACAAAUAAGCCCUAAACUAUUUAUGUGAAAUUAUUAAUUGCGCGAACGUCUAGACUAAAUUUUUUGAAUGUUUAAACCAAUUUUUUUUUAAAAUUAAUCUAGAAAAAUUAUCAUGAUUCACUACUGAUAACUGCAAAGAUCCGUAGACGGAGUUAUACUAUACUAAAAGUCUAAAACAAACAGAAAAAGAGAGAAUGUUAUAAAAUUUAAAUGAAUACUAGAUUUUGACCCGUGCAACCGCACGGGUGUUUGUUUUCACUUUUCUAUACAUAAAUUAUUGUUUUAGAACAUAAGUGGUAUGUUACAAAAAAAAUAAUAAUAACAUAAGUGGUAUAUAUUUUUAAUGUUAAUCAUAUACAUAAAUAUUUAUAUAACUAUUUCAAAUACAAUAAUUUUAUAAUUUACAUGUUAUAAUUAAUUAAUUGUUUAAACCUUCUGUAUUUACCACUUAUUAUUAUAUAUUUAUCUUAUUGUAUUUGCAUUUAGUUAUUAAGCAAAUAAAUAUAUUCAUGAGAAAAUAUAUUUAAAAAAUAUUUUGUAUUUAAUUUAUGCUAAAUUCUGACCCGUAUUUCAAAACUGGAUUUCUUUUUACCAAAAUUUUUAUGCUUAUUCAUUUUAGAUAAUUUAUUAUUGUAUAUAUAAAAGUGUAAGAUAUGUUAAUUUUUAGACAUGUAUUAUAUAGUUUGUUAAUUUUCAGCCGUUCUAUCAUCAUAUUAUAUUUUAAAUAAAUAGUUUAUAUUUAUGAAAAUAAAAUUUAUAAAUUUAUCAAUUGAAUAUAAUUUUAUCAUAUUUAUUUUAGUAUAAUAAUUAUAUUUUAACGUGAUCAUGACUAUAAUUUAUUUAUUUUUAUUUCUAAACGAUAACUUAAAAUACAUUAAGUUAUUGUUUAAAUAUUACACAGAUUUAUUAGAAUUUUUAAAAUAUAAUAUAUAAAUAUAUAUUAUAUUUAAAAUGAAAAUAUAUUAUGAUUAAAGUAGUUGCAAAGAUUUUAUAUUAUUAACUUUAAAAAUACAUGUAUUAUAUAGUUUGAUAAUGUUAACCCAUCUUACCAACAUAUUAGAUUUUAUUUUUGAACAUAAAUAUUUUAUAAUUACGAAAAUAAAAUAUAUAAAUAUGUAAAUUUAAUACAAUUUUAUUAUAUUUAGCUCAAUAUAAUAAUUUUAAUUUAAUAUGAUUGAUUAUGAUUAUAUAAUAACUAAAAUGUUAUAGAUUUUUUUAUUUUUCAUUUUAUAUAAUUAAAUAUAUUAAUGUAUAAUAAUAUUUUAAACUAAUUUCGAAAUUAGUGAAAAUAUUUAAAUAUAAUUUCGAAAAUGAAGAUCUUGUAAAAAUAUUUUUAAACAGAUUUGUUAGAAUUUUAAAAUAAAUAUAUUUAUAUUUAAAAUGAAAAGAUAUCAAAAGAUACUAUGAUUAAAAUAUUUUAAAAAUUAUAUUUAUUAUUAGUCUGAAUUAAAAUAUAGUAUGAAUUUCUAUGAAUAGGUCCAUUAGGUCUAUUUUUAAAAAAAUCACACUUGAAUCAAGGUUGUGACUUCUGUUUUAAUAUAUAAGAUGAAUUAUUAUACAAUAUGCAGUAUUUUUGUAUACAAAGUGGAGGAGCCGACGGGUGAUCAGUUCCGGAAUCUUUAUCACGUUUGCUGCUGCACCUACAAGGGAUGGACAUUUACCACGUGGCGCACUCAGCGACCUCGUAAAGUAUUAAAAUGAAGCAACAAAAAUUAUAAUAUCAGUACUGGUGUCCCAUUACUCACAUAAACCCUUUGUGUUGAUCCUCACAUGUGAUCUUCUCUUUAAUUUAUUUUAUCUUUUUCAUUUUCUUUUGUUUAUUGAUGUUUCUUCAUUGUUAUGGACUUAUCAUGGACUCGGUACACAAUACAGGUGACCCUUCGUGUCACCCAUCGUUUAUUUCUAUUUUCAAUCAUAUAUAAUACUAGUUUUUCUUAAAGAAUCUACUGGAUUAGGAAAGUCUAAGCUGCAUUAAUUCAUAAAAAAUGGAACCGUGAGCUUAUAGAAUUCACAUGGACUCGACUCUACUAGUCUUUUGAAGACAUGUUCUUUCCUUUAUUAGAUUUAAUUAAUCAAAGUUACUUCUUUAAGGUCGUGAUGAGAUAACUACACACAUUUUCUAACCAUUCCUUUACUAUUCCGGAAUACAAAAAACAAAUAAAUCUAGAACAAAACGAAUAAAACAACAGACAAAACGAUAUAAAAAGAAUCAAUGUCAUGACGCUUAUAUGUUUUCUUAUAGCUUUAUUUUGUGUCCAAAAUUCAAAGUUGCUAAGAUUAGUUGAGCUCUUAGAGGGUAUACCAAUUGGAGAUCUCUGGAUUAGAAAAUUGAAUUAUUGUUGGGAGAAACUAAGCUUUGAGGCAUAGCAAGAUAUCGGUUAAGUCUAAUAAACUAUUACAUAUUCCUCAAAAUAAGUAUAUUUUCCUAGUAAAUACAUAUUGCAUGUGAAGUCCAACGGCCCGAAUAAAAAAGGUCGGAGGUUUCGCACUCUUACACGCAAUCCAACCACGUGGACCAGAGAUCUUUGAUUGUUUUCUUAUGAAAGAGGAUUGUAGUGAACGACUAAGCCCUGAUUGACCAACGUGCGUCAGAUCAUAUGCUCUAUAAGAGAUGCUUAGUUGAACAUAUGCUUCAAAUGUAGCUAUAAGUAUUUCCUCUCUAUAAGUCUUACCUUGUGGGCCUUAUAUGGGCUCCACAUCGUAUUCAGUUGGCUUGAACUUAUGCGAAUUACUCAGUUCCAAAAUUGCAUAGUUCCUUUGGAUUUUUCAAAUUGGUUUCAUAUGGGUAGGCGUAACUGAAUCACUGAUGCCGGUGAUUUUAGUAGAGGAAUUGUGAUUCAUUUAUACUCGAUAAGACAUGGCCUGGACUCUAAACUAUUUGUUUACAACAAUUUUAUUGAUAUGUAUGCUGAACCUAGUGGACCUUAAGGGUUGCCAUAAGGUUUUUGAUAGGAUGAUUGUGAGUGGAUUUGGUCGGGUAUGUAUAUAUGGGCUCUAAAAUUUAGGCCCACAUUUCAACAUUGAAUUAGAUGUGGAUUUCACAAAACCCUACGAUCUUCUUAAGAAAAACACCCAUGCCAGGAGAUUUAAACAUAUGUACAAAAUGUAUAAGAUUUGAUAAGAAAAUAAUCCCAAUUAUUCUACGUACCUCUGUCACAUAUUAUAGUAAAUUCUAUCCCGAAUGCAUGAAUGAAAAGAUUAGAUACAUGUUUACAAAGUAAAAGUAAAACUAACUACAUUGGAAAGGCGAGAUAUUUUUCUUGGUUUGUCAAAGUAAAAGGGCAGAUAUUUUUCUUGGUACGGACACAAGUAGCAGAUAUUUUUGACCCAACCACUGCCACGCCAACAAGUGCAUUAAAAUAUCCUUUGGCCAAACCAAUGGCUAAUUUUAAUUAGUUUAUUUCUAGGAUUUAUCCAAUAAACUUCUAACUAUCAUUUAUGUCUAGGAUUUAUCCAAUAAACUUCUAACUAAGUAUCAUUUAUAAUCCAGACAUAAUUAAUCCUUUUAUUUGGCGUUAUCUCUUUAUCCAAAAUCCAAAAUGAUACUAGUAUUUUAAUGAAUACAGCUAGCUAAUUAUUUGAAUUAACAAAAAACUUUUGUGGUGCAUUGAAAAAGAGCCAAGGCCCCAUGACGAUUCACGAUGUUCUUAAGAUGGAUUAUUAUGACGUUAACUUUAUGUUAUCUAAUUCUAAAAGUUUAUCCAAGAUCUGACCAAAUCUGAUUUAGUUUAAUAAAUCCUAAAAGCAAACAUAUUAAACAAGGAAAGUAAUCAGAACGUAAAAAGAAAAAUCAAAAUCAAAAUCCUGACCUAUUAAAUUCGGUAAAGAGAAAAAUAAUAUCCAAAUCACACAACCUCCUUCCGGGAAAAAAAUAAAUAUCUGGCUGAUAGAUAUUUGUCCAAGAUAUUAUCAUCGCUGCUGAUGACGUGGCGGUACUAUGCCACGUGUAAAAGCGAGGCCAUGUGGACCCUUCCUUGUCUUUAAGGGGUCUAUCUCAAGCAAGAGAAGUAAUUUGUGUUUUGUUCUUUUGCGUUGAGAGAGAGAGAGAGAGAGAGAGCACCGAUGGCGAAUGAGUACGAGGUGGUGAAUACUGUUUCUCUCGAGAUGCAUCACGAUGCGGCUGAAUCUCAGAGCGACUCGUCGACUCUCUCGAACUCGUUCGAGUCCGGCCUCACGGUUGGCGAUGCCGAUUCGAAGAAGCUGGUAAACAAACCGAAUCUUCUAUUUGUUCUGUUGUUGCCUUUGAGACGUAAGAGAUAGUUAAUUGAUCUAUUUAGGAAAGUAAUCUUAUUUGAGAUUGUUAGAUAUGGAAGGAAGGAAGCUUCAGAUCUGAUGCUAGUGUUAGGUUUUACACUCGUUAACCUAAAAAGAUCUUAUUUUGAUGAAUGAUACUAAUCAAUCCUUUGUAAGCAUUUGCCAAAAUCGAAAAAGUCAUUUAUUUUAAAUGAAUUUGAAUCUUCUUCUGAGUGAUUUGAUUUCUUGACAAGUAUGUUGUGUAACUGUUUAUGCAGGAUGAGUGUGGUGGAUGGACGAAUGAGAAACACAACUUGUAUCUUGAUUCUUUGGAGAACUCUUUUGUUAAGCAGUUGUAUUCCUUGCUUGGAGUGGGAGGAGAGACUCAGAGGCUGAGUAGAACUCGUGGUGUGCAGUCUAACUCUCACAAAUUGACUGAUCAGGUUCGUUUUUUUUUCUUUUUAAUACUGUUUCUUCAUUUGUUUUUGUAAACCUAUAGCGAGAAAACUUACGACGUUAUCUUUUUGUAGUUUACGGUACUACAAAAUGGUUACCGGCAGAAAGUUAGCUUUGGGAAAAAACGAGCUCAUUUGGAGACGAUGGGAACUGAUAAAGGUUUUACUAGAACAUCCAUGAGAACUUCUUUGGUGCAUCAGUAUCCAGCUCAAAGCACUGCAGGUAACAUUCUCCUUAGCCUAGUUGAAUCGAACUCCUCUUGGGAGUUGUAUGUUUUGGCUUCUUCUCUUCUUGUUUUUGUUACCCAAUUAGUGUAUGUUCACAUUUCAAAUUCUAUCUAAGAACUAGGCUGAUACUUUUGAGUAGAUCAAUACUUAAGUUAUCUUUUGCAUUGGCUUUUAGAAGGCUUUUGCUGCAGAAACAUAAGAGUUGAUAUGACCUGUGGGGGAUCAAAGAAAUGAUUGUUGCUACGAAAGACAUGUAUGAGAUCUGGUCUGAUAUCUAUUCACCCACCGACCCACUUAUGAAUGUUUUUUUUUGUUUUGAACUUGUAUUCUCACCUGCCUGAUAGUAUCUGUUUAAAGUCUAAACCCUGACCUCAUUUGUUUUUAUAACUCCAGAGGCGUCAGGGCAGAAUUUCAGAGAAGAAGUGGAAGAGAAGGGAUGUGACUCAGAAGUGUCCAGGAAACGCAGAAGAGGAGCUAAUUAUGAUGAUAGUUCAUUGAAUGAUCAGGUAAAUUAUAGGAAAAUAACACAUACAAAACAACUUUACGUGUGUUAAUACUAAAGAAGCUGCUGCUGCAUAUUCUCAGGUUGUGCCGUAACGAUGGUGAAGCCCCAGAGAAAGUGAAACAAUGAUAUAAAGCAAUAGGAAAUGAAGUGUAGAUUAAUUACUAUGAAUAGAGAAAAAAAAUAGGAAGCAUGCGAGUGGAAAAUGAAGGGUUUUGUUUGUUGUAAAGUAUGAUGAGGCUAAAGACAGCCUUGUCGAAUGGGAAUGAAAUUAGUAUUUUGAUAUAUUAUCAUCAUUUCUUCCAUUGCUUUUCAAUCUUUAAUUCGUUCUAUUAAUUUUUUUUUUUUCAUUUUCUAGAACAAUGUUUUUGUCGUGAAUUUAUAAAUUCUUUCAAUAGUUGUGUGUUUUUUCUGUUCUACUGGUUAAAAUAUAUUUAAGCUAAGAGCAUGUACACCAACACAACCAGUUGCUAGAAGUAAAUAUUAUCAUGAGCUGAUUAAUGCAAUUUUGAAGCUGAACGGGGUUUUUAUGCAAGCAGGAAGUGCACAUGUUCACGAAUUGACAUUUCAUGAUCUCUAUUAAUGCUUUUGAGGAUUUUGUGAAGCAAUGGAUUUACCAUUGUCAGUUUCUUGACUCCUGGAUCUGUAGAGUGGUCACAGUCACAGCACUAUAGCAUCUUAUAAUCAUGAUAAUUCUUUAGGGGACGUAUCUUGCGGCGCACGGAAAGUAGUGAGAGACAAAAACAAGGGUUUGCGUUGUAGCGUGAUGUUCGCAAAAAAACAAUCCAUCACUCAUUUUCAAGGCUGUGUCCUGUAAUAGUUACCGGUUUCUUCUUAGGUCUAUUUUGCUUGUUUUCCUUUUCUCUAACCACAAUUUCUAUUUCUUGCUAAAUAUGUCCUCCGUAUCUGAAGCAACAUCCUCAAAAACAAAACAAUGUCCCCUAAAUAUGGGAAACCGUUAGUCAUUUGCAAGGCUGGCUUAUUAUUAAUAAUACAGAUUCGCAACGUCCUCGAACCCUCUCAGGUCCAUCUAUAAGCAGCCUUGGACCUUUGAGGUUUUCUCUUUUAGCCAUGGCUAAACCUCCGUCCUUUGGCUGCUUCUUCUUCCUCUUAUUCUUCUUCUUUAUAUCCUCUUCCUUCGCCGCAUACGCCAUAUCCGAUUCCGAAGCUGCCUUCCUAGUCCGACGUCAACUCCUGACGUUACCAGAAAACGGCGACGGCGAACUUCCCGAUGACAUCGAAUACGAGGUCGACCUCAAGGCUACAUUUGCCAACACUAGGCUUAAAAAGGCUUACAUAGCUCUCCAAGCUUGGAAAAAAGCGAUAUAUUCGGAUCCGUUUAACACCACGGCAAACUGGCACGGCCCCCAUGUGUGCGCCUACACGGGUGUGGUCUGUGCGCCGGCUCUUGAUGAUCCCAACGUCACUGUGGUAGCUGGUGUUGACCUCAACGGUGCGGAUAUCGCGGGGCAUUUACCCGUCGAGCUUGGUUUGAUGACGGAUGUUGCUAUGUUCCAUUUGAAUUCGAACCGUUUCUGCGGUAUCAUCCCCAAGAGCUUUGAGAAGAUGAAGCUGAUGC